GCCGCGGUGGCGGCGGAGAGUGGGCUCGGAUUCCGCGACACGGAGAGGCGCGUCAGGAUGGGGUUGGCGCGGGGGGGGCUCCGCGGCUGACGUGGGGACUCGUCGGAGGACUCGGCGUCGGUGGUGUCGCCGCCAUCGGAGGAGUAGUUUUCGUCCGGCUUUGGGUCGCCGCUCGCCAUGGCCGUCGGUCGUGCUCGUGACACUGCUGUUCGCGUGUACGCGCACGCGCGUGUCCUUAGCAGCAGCAGCUCGUCACGGGUACAAGUUGCGGUGGGACUUCGUAUUCGUAAGAUUCAGCUUUUACCGUUCUUUGCCCGUGCAAUGGGAGCAAUGCAAAUACCGAUGCAUGCUAAAAAAAACAGUUUGGUCUAUUGAAAUAAUGAUUUUUAGCGCGUCGGAAAACACUGACUUCAAUGAUUGCCGUAAAAGAUAGCGCGUGAGAGCCCCAUACCUGACCAAACGAGCCGGCCCGACACGGCCCAUGGUAAUCGGGCCUGGCACGGCACGGCCCGUCCAGGCACGUUUAUUAAUCGGGUCGUGUCGUGUCAGCCCGUGGGCUGCGCCUCUAGGCCUGUAAGAUUUGAGAGAGAGAGGUUUUGGAUCAGCACACUUUAUUCAAUCUAAACCAUGAUGUCUAACAGAAAACCCUAAGGAGGUAGUCAGCGGCAGCAAUCGUGCGAGGUGGGUUAGUGCUGGGUUAUCGAUUCCGAGGCAUGCGGACGUGCAUGCGUGCUGGGUCAUCGCCAUGCAUGGGCUUGCUUGAGGGCCAAGUCGGCCGACGCCAUGGGCUGUAGUGAGGUCUAUUCCAAAACCACCCCUCCCCCCCCCCCCCCCCCCCCCCCCCGCCCCCCCCCCGCCGGGGCGACACACAGNNNNNNNNNNNNNNNNNNNNNNNNNNNNNNNNNNNNNNNNNNNNNNNNNNNNNNNNNNNNNNNNNNNNNNNNNNNNNNNNNNNNNNNNNNNNNNNNNNNNUAAGAGUGGAAGAAUCAUUAAUUUUCACUGGUUAAAUCUUUUUAUAAAAAUAAUUUGAAACUAGGUUUUAAAUAAAAAAGAAAAGGGGCAACAGCCCUAGCCUGGCUUGGCCUGCAACUGCGCCGGCCAAGUGGCCAGCCAACCAGCCUGCCCACGCGCGCGCACCGUUAGGUUUGAACCUGCCGUGCGAGCCCCUACGGUUAGCAGCUGUGGGGAGCGAGGGAGAGAGAUAUGGGCCACCGACAGGUGGGGCACACCUGUCAGGGUCGUCUCCUACAUGUGGACAGAGAGGAGGAGGAGCACGCUGGCGUGGCUACCGACAUCCUCAGGCCCUAACAACGCCAGGAAUGGGUUCGGCUCAUCGUCACCUACCUGUUGGUUCACCGGCGACGAGGUGGCCACGACGGAGAGGUUUCGGUCAAUGUUGGAGGUGGUGGCUACGGGCACUGGUUUUCUCGGGGAAGAAGGGGGAAAUGAUCCUGGUGUCACGGGGAGUGUGCAUGUGGGCAGAGGGACGUGAGAACCGUUGUGUAGCCGGAGAUCGACCGGAGCUCCGAGGCGGAGAUGCCUCUGGCGAUAUCGAGCACCGGGGCUCUGCUUGCUCAAUGGGGUGUCUACGGAGCUGAUUGGGGUCUAGGUGGAGGCGAGGGGCUACAAAUAGGCCCGCAACGAUGAGCCAACUCGGGUGCGCCGGUGAUCCCACUGUGGCACGCAUGGGGGUGCAGAGAGAGGCUGGGGUCGAAACCAUGGUCUCAAGCGUUGGUUUUGUACCUCCUGGACUCACCGCGAGAGAGGGGAGAGAGGAGUGGCGUGCAUGCGUGGCCAUGCUCCUCUGACCGCUACUGGUGCGCGCAGGCACACGACGCACCGGCUGUCAGCGCAUGAAAGGACGGCCCUAGGAACUACCUGAUGCACAGGUGCUGUCGGGUGAGAGGAGAGACACCGCGGGGAGCCUGGAACUGGCCAAGGGAGUCGUCCCCACCUCGGUUGCUCUCUGUAGUGCGCCAAGAGCACAGCUUUGGCAUGCCACGGCAUGCUGGCGCGCUCUGGGUGCCUUGGACACGUCUGGCGUGUCCUGGACCCUUGUUGGGAGAUACCUAGCCGUUUGAAUCCCGUGGNNNNNNNNNNNNNNNNNNNNNNNNNNNNNNNNNNNNNNNNNNNNNNNNNNNNNNNNNNNNNNNNNNNNNNNNNNNNNNNNNNNNNNNNNNNNNNNNNNNNCCCAUGGUACAUCGAGAUCAAGACAUCUCAAGAACACGAGAGAGAGAUCAAACACAUAGCUACUGGUACAUACCCUCAACCCCGAGGGAGAACUACUCCCUCCUCGUCAUGGAGAUCGCUGGGAUGAUGAAGAUGGCCACCAGAGAUGGAUUCCCCCUCCGGCAGGGUGCCAGAACGGGCUCCAGAUUGGUUUUUGGUAGCUACAAAGGCUUGCGGUGGCAGAACUCCCGAUCUAGGUUUCUUUUUGGAGGUUUCUGAAUUUAUAGGAAUUUAUGGCGGUGGAAUUACAUCGGUUGGGCCCACGAGGAGGUCACAAGCCUGCCCUGCGCCACCUAGGGGGGCGGUGGCGGCGUCAGGGCUUGUGACUCCCUCGUGGCUCUUCUCGCCUUCUUCCAAAGCUUCGGGGGUCUCUUUUGGUCCAAAAAAAUCAUCGUAAAGUUUCACUCCAUUUGGACCUCGUCCGAAAAUGGGCCAAAAGCACGGAAAAAACAGAAACUGGCACUUGGCACUGAGUUAAUAGGUUAGUCCCAAAAAAGAUAUAAAAUAGCAUAUUCAUGCAUAUAAAACAUCCAAAGUUGACAAGAUAAUAGCAUGGAACCAUUAAAAAUUAUAGAUACGUUGGAGACGUAUCAAGCAUCCCCAAGCUUAACUCCUGCUCGUCCUCGAGUAGUGAAGUGAUAAAGAAAGAAUUUUUGAUGUUGCAUGCUACCUAGCAUAGUUGUCCUUUGUAACUUCUCUCACGUGACAUGAAUGUUCAGAUCCGUUAGAUUCAAAACAAUAGUUUGCUAUUGAUGCGGAGACAAUAAUAAUUUAAGCAAACUAGCAAGGUAAUCAUGAACUUUCAAAAUAACAAGGCCAAAAGAAAGUUAUCCCUACAAAAGCAUAUAGUCUGUAUAUGCUCUAUCAUCAUUGCACAACGAAUUUAAAUCAUGCACAACCCCGGUAUUGGCCAAGUAAUUGUUUCACACCUUUACUUUCUCAAACCUUUUCAACUCUCACGCAAUACAUGAGCGCGAGCCAUGGUUUUAGCACUAUAAGUGGUGUGGAGUGUGGUGGAGGUUGCAAGACAAAACAUGAUAAGAUGAUCACAUUAACUAGGCGUAUCAAUAAGCUGCGGAGAUGCUCAUCAAUAGAUAUCAAUGUGAAUGAGUAGGGAUUGCCAAACAAAUGAUGCACUAGAGCUAAGAGUAUGUGAAAGCCCUUAAAGAAAACUAGUGGGUGUGCAUCCAACUUGCUUGCUCACGAAGACUUAAGGCAAUUUUGAGGAAGCCUAUCACUGGAAUAUACAAGCCAAGUUAUAUAAUGAAAAUUUCCCACUAGCUAUAUGGUGGUGACAAAACAAGAGACUCUUAAUCAUGAAGAUCAUGAUGCUUAAUAUGCACAAGUAUUGAAAAGUGGUAGCAUUGUCCCUUCUCUCUUUUUCUCUCGUUUUUUAUAUAAUUUUUUGGUGGGCUCUUUGGCCUCUUUUUUUUGGUGGGCAUCUUUGGCCUCUUUUAUUUCCUCACAUGGGACAAUGCUCCAUCAAUGAUGAUCAUCACACUUUCAACUCAAAACUUAGAGCAACGAUGACUCUAUAUGGAAUGCCUUCGGUAGUGUACCGUGACAAUGAUCUAGCAUGGCAUAGACAUUAAUGGAAACAUCAUGCUAGCUAUCUUACGAUCAUGCAAUGACAAUGUAGACGUGGUGGCACAUGUCAUGGUGGUAGUUGCAUGACAAUAUAUCUCAGAAUGACUUUGAAAAAGACAUAGUAGGUAGGUAUGGUGGCUGUUUUGAGGGAGGCUAAUGGUGGGUUUUGUGCACCGGCGAAAGUUGCACGGCACUAAGAAGAUAGUGAUGGUGGAAGGUGAAAGUGCAUCUAAACCUUGGACUCAACAUUAGUCAUGAAGAACUCAUAUACUUGUUGCAAAAGUUUUAUUAGUAAUCGAAACAAAGCAUUCAACGCAUACUCCUAGGGGAAGGGUUGGUAGGUAUAAACCAUCGCGCGAUCCCGACCGCCACGCAAAGUAUGACAAUCAAAAGACUAAUCAUGCUCAGACUUCAUCACAUAGCGGUUCACCAUACGUGCAUGCUACGGGAAUCACUAACUUCGACACAAGUAUUUCUAGAUCCACAACACCUUAUUAGCAUGACUUCAAUAUUACCAAAACCACAACUCAAAACUAAUUGAGAUGAAUCAAACUUCUCCUAAGUAUUCAAUGCACAUGAAGGUGGAAGUUUUCGUAUCCCUUUGGAUAACUACCCCUUUUGAGACUACUUUCAAAGCAUAGAUCAACUACCAAGCCACGCACCGCUGCACUCUAAAAGAUAUAAGUGAAGCACAUAGAGCAAAAGUAUCUAGCUCACAAGAUAUAAGUGAAGCACAUGUGAGCUGUGCUCUAAAAGAUAUAGGUGAAGCACACAGAGCAAAAGUAUCUAGCUGAAAAGAUAUAAGUGAAGCACAUGUGAGCUGAAUUGUCUACCAAAGGAUAUAAGUGAAGCUCGACAAAAUCACGAUGAGUGCAUAUCUCUCUCUCUCUAGGUGUGCAGCAAGGAUGAUUGUGACACAACAAAAAUAAAAGACUCCUACAAUACAAGACGUUCCAAGCAAAACACAUAUCAUGUGGUGAAUAAAAAUAUAGCCCCAAGUAACGUUACCGAUGGAUCGAAGACGAAAGUGGGGAUGCCUUCCCGGGGCAUCCCUAAGCUUAGGCUUUUACGGCAUCCUUGAAUCAACUUGGGGUGCCUUGGGCAUCCCCAAGCUUGAGCUCUUGCCACUCUUUAUCUCUUUGUCCAUAAGAACUUCACCCAAAACUUGAAAACUUCACAACACGAAACUUAAACAGAAACUCGUGAUAACAUUAGUACAAGAAAGCAAACCACCACUUCCUUAGGUACUGUAGAAAACUUAAAUUCUACUUAUGCUGAUGUUGGAUUACUGUAUUUUCAAUCUUCCAUGGCUAAUACCCUCCGAUACUAUCCAUAGUUUCAUCAAAAUAAGCAACCAACUCAACAAAAAAGAAUUUGUUAAUAGCAGACCAGUCUGUAGCAAUCUGUAUACUUCGUAUACUUCUGGUACUUCAAAAAUUCUGAAAAAUUACGACAGUCUGAAGAAUUUGCGUAGAAAUCAUAAGCAGAAAGAAUCAACUCAAAAGCUUUUACAGAAAAAAUGAAAUUUCUUUUCAUGGGCAGAAAGUUUCUGUCUUUUCCAGCAUGACCAAACGAUCAUCCCCAAGACUAAUCAUAACGGUUUUGCUUGGCACAAACGCAAAAAGAAACACAAAAGACAGAAUCAUAACAGAAUUAUGAAAGUGUGGAAAACACAAAACAGGAAGCAAAAAGCAAAGAAAAAUUCAUUCAUUGGGUUGCCUCCCAACAAGCGCUAUCGUUUAACGCCCUUAGCUAGGCAUUGAUUUCAAUGAUGCUCACAUAAAAUGUAAGGAUUGAAACACAACGAGAGCAUCAUGGAGCAUAUGGCUAGCACAUUUAAGUCUAACCCACUUCCUAUGCAUAGGGAUUUUGUGAUCAAAGAAUUUAUUGGAGCAAGAAUCAACUAGCAUAGGAAGGCAAAACAAGCAUAGCUUCAAAAAUUUCAACAUAUGGAGAGGAAGCUUGAUAUUAUUGCAAUAAGUAGAAGCAUAUGAUCCUCUCUCAUAGUAAUUUUCAGUAGCAUCAUGAAUGAAUUCAACAAUAUAACCAGCACCUAAAGCAUUCUUUUCAUGAUCUACAAGCAUAUAAAUUGUACUACUCUCCACAUAAGGAAAUCUAUUCUCAAGAAUAGUAGUGGGAGUAUCGUAAAAGACUUGAGCACUACAAAUUGUGUCCACAAUGAAAAAUCAAGGUUGAGCACAGGGGUUCUUGAGAGUAUGACAAGUUUUAUCAUCCCUCUUCUUCAAAGCAUAAGUAUCCUCACAAUAAUCAUCAUAGAUAGGGGGCAUGCUUUCAUCAAAAUGAUUUUGAUCAUUCAAAGUGGAAGAACUAAAAAGAUCAUCUUUAUCAAAUAUAGCAUCCCCAAGCUUGUGGCUUUGCAUAUCAUUAGAAUCAUGGGUAUUCAAAGAGUUCAUGCUAAGGACAUUGCAAUCAUGCUCAUCAUUCACGUAUUCUAUUCCAAGCAUUCUAUGAAAUUCUUCUUUCAACACUUGAGCAAAAUUUUCCUUCCCAUCAUGCUCACGAAAGACAUUGAAAAGAUGGAGCAUAUGAGGCAUCCUCAAUUCCAUUUUUUUGUAGUUCUCUAGCAAAAGAACAAGAAACAAAAAGAUUCGAUUGCAAGAUCUAAAGAUAUACCUUCAAGCGCUAACCUCCCCGGCAACGGUGCCAGAAAAGAGCUUGAUGUCUACUACACAACCUUCUCCUUGUAGACGUUCUUGGGCCUCCNNNNNNNNNNNNNNNNNNNNNNNNNNNNNNNNNNNNNNNNNNNNNNNNNNNNNNNNNNNNNNNNNNNNNNNNNNNNNNNNNNNNNNNNNNNNNNNNNNNNUGUCUGUACCCAGACAGUCUAUAACUCUUCCGCUGGCUUGUAUUUGUAUGACUGCUAUUAUGGGUCGAGAGACCUUAAUGUGUAAUAUUAUGUGUGUGGCUCUUCCGAGCCUCUUGAAUAAAGGUUGUAUGUUUAUGGUUAUGUUGUGAUGCCAUCGAUGCAUCUAUACAUAUCGGUAUGCCAUGCGUACGUGUGUCAUACUUGAUAUGUAUGGGGUUCGAAUACCUAGUCGUGAACUUUAGUAGCACUCCUUACAAGGAAAUGCCCCUUUGUGAUCCAACGAGCCUUGGUAGUCCGCUACUGCUCCGGACACAUUGGUUGACUGGCAUGUGUCCUUCUUAGCUGUUGUGUCUGUCCUCUUUGGGGAAAUGUCACGCGACGUAAUGGAGUCCUUGUAGCUUGCUACAACUCGUCUACGUUCGCUGAUGACCGACACCUGCUUUGUUGGGUCAUGUAUGCCUGUCCUUGUGCGGAACUGCCACUUUGAUUUAUGACUAGACAUGUCGAUCCGGGUUCUUUGACAUUGGAUUGCUAGCGACACCUAUUGCAGCCGUGGAGUUAACCGUGCGUGAGACCACAAAGAGAUGCGAUGUGUUACAGGCUGGAUUCCUAUGGCUUAGGAUCGGGGUCCCGACAAAAGUCCCCUCCGGCAGGGUGCCGGGAAGGGUCUCCAGAUGAGAUCUCGCGGAAACGGAAGCUUGCAACGGCGGAAAAGUAUUUUCGAGGCUCCCAUGAUUUUUUGCGGAAUAUUUGGGAAUUUAUAGGCCAAAGACCUAGGUCAGGGGGCGGCCAGGGAGGCCACAAGCGUGCCCACCGCCGCCUCCCCCUGGUGGCGGAGUGGGGACUUGUGGGCUCCCUGGAGCCCACAUGGCUUGGCCCAAAAAAACCCUGGUCUUCUUCCGUUCGGGAAAAAAUCAUUUCGGGGUUUUUCUUCCGUUUGGACUCCGUUCCAAAAUCAGAUCUGAAAAGAGUCAAAAACACCGAAAAAACAGGAACUGGCACUUGGCACUGAAUUAAUAAGUUAGUCCUAAAAAAGAUAUAAAAGGUACAUAAAACAACCAAAGAAGACAAGAUAACAACGUGAAACCAUCAAAAAUUAUAGAUACGUUUGAGACGUCUCAUAUACUCAGACACAGUGUUGUUUCCUUGCCUAGCAGAGUUAAAUUUUUCUGUCAAAUCAUGAGAACCCUGUUCAGAAAAUCUCUUGUUCAGUUCAGCACAAAAUUGUUUCCAAGUCAACUAUUUCUUGAGGAUGCCAGAUCUUCUUAACCAUGUAUUAGCUUCACCAAUGAUAUAUAGCUGAGAUAGAGAUACUUUGUAUUCUUCUGGAGCUGCUGACAUUUGAAAAUACUUGUUACAUUGCCUGAUCCAUCCAACUGGAUCUGUUCCCUCAACCUAGGGAAAUGUAAUUUUGGACCCUUUGUCAAAGACUUCAUGAACUGAGCUUGCAUGUCUUGUUCAUAUGUCAUGUAAUAUCCCUGCCACAUCUGUCUGUCUCUGUUGGUUUGAUAAAACUUGUUGAAAAGAGGAGUCUGACCACCAUCUCUUGUUGUCAAAGGUGUUCCUAUAGCACUCACAUUCUCUGUUCUCUGUUGAUUGUCAUAACCAGGAGGGACAGUUUGUCUCUGCACCUUAAGAGGUGGCAGAUGAUGUGUUUGGAUAUCUUCCAUUUGUUUGGUUUUUUCCUUUUCAAGUUCCAAUUGUUUUCUCAAAAAUUCAUUUCUCAGAUGUUGUUCUUGCACAGCUUCCUGAUGCAGAGUAGGAGAACGAGUUGUCUGACUAGAGCUUGUCAGAUUAGUUCCUCCCACAUUUUGCCCCGCAGGUGGGAUCAAAGUUUGCAGAGCUUGACUGAUAGUUGAUAGUUGCUUACUCAUAUCCAAUACUGCCUUCUCAAUACUGCCAACAUGUUUAGAUAUAUCACCUUGUUUGGAAUCGAUUGAAUGCAUGUCUUCCUGCAACUUGGAUACAUCACUGCGCAAACUUGCAUUGUCCUUUUGCAGAACACCGAAGUCAUCUCGUAGUGACAGUAUUUCUUGCACAUCGGCCUCAUCAAGAGCUGCCUUGCACCCCAUCGCCUCGAUCUAAGUCACUGGUUAGGAAUUUUACCACUGAUGAACAACAACCCUUCCUGUAACUCAGAUCCUGCCGCCGCCGCGCUCCUCGCCACCCGUAGAAGCAUACAGAUCAGUGCUCGGAUGUGGGAUUUUAUGAACCGAACAGGGAGUUUGAUCAACCACUCCUGCUCUGCGGACCUAUGCCCGAACAAAUCACCGCCACCAGCGCCACCAGUAACCCGUCGAUUUGCCGUACUCCGCCGCCAGCGUCUCCUCGAUCUCUCUCUCAAAUCAGGGUGGGAAAAGGGUGGGAAUCCUAGCUCUUACGAAGAAAUUCAUCCAUGGACCCUCUAACUCCGAGGAUCGUUGGCUCUGAUUACCAAUGUGUGAGGACCCGGUCGAUCUAUUGGACGAUAGCUUGUGGAGAAAGGGGAAAGUUCAUCCCAGAUGUAUAGUAUAUUCGAAGUAUAUGCUUGUUCGAUGACAAGAGUGCAAAGAUUAACGAUAACAACUAGCCACAACCCGGCAACUUAUAUAGGCUAAAGGGUUUUACCGAAAAGGGAAAGCUACAGUAGCGACAAUGGUUUUACNNNNNNNNNNNNNNNNNNNNNNNNNNNNNNNNNNNNNNNNNNNNNNNNNNNNNNNNNNNNNNNNNNNNNNNNNNNNNNNNNNNNNNNNNNNNNNNNNNNNNNNNNNNNNNNNNNNNNNNNNNNNNNNNNNNNNNNNNNNNNNNNNNNNNNNNGGAAGAGGCUGCUCAAGAAGGCCUCCGAGCUCUCCGUGCUCUCCGACAAGAUGUACAGAACCUGUUUGAUGUAAUGCACAUGAGGGUGGAGAGAGGUGGAAGAACUUGGUUGACGUGUGGGCUCUAUUUGUAAUAACGGUCAAAGUUAACGUUCAACCUGACUUGUGGCCCAACAUGUUAGAAAGGCGUUUAGAAGAAGUAAAUGAAGCAGUUUUCAUAGUUGGUAGUUUUUAGCAACAGAUUAGAAAAAAUGAUAAUUUUCAGCACAAAUGUGUAAAUCGGUAGUUACUGGACACGUUUUCAUGAAAUAUGGUAGUUUUUGGUUAAAUACCUCACAUGCGAAGGGCCGAAAAAUGGGGCAGUCUACCAAACACAUCAUACGUGGCUAAUGGACGAGCGUGCCAAGGACAUCCGGUCUAUUCAUUCUGGUUUGGCAUGAUCUUGGAAUAGGUUAAAGAGGAGGUGUUCUUCCAGGCAUAUGACUCAAGACAUGGCGUAGUGCAUUGAAGUGGCACUCUGCUAUGUAUCAGGGCAAUCGUAAUGCUACACUGUGUUAUAUAUCAUGGACGCCAAUGUUGCAUGACAUCAGCUCCUACUGGCCAUUCGAACGAACGGUCAUUCGCGCUGGAGGGAGGAACCCAACAAAGGCAUGCGAACCCCAUGCUCCUUCCGAGACAACCCCGGUUCACCUCCUCUCUUGAGUGGCCAUGGGAAAUCUGCCCGCAUAACACUUGAUUUGAGUGUAUCAAUCGGUUGAUCACGCAAUCGAGAUAAUGACCUGCCAGCGUAUCGUCCCCAGCCCUCUCAAAUUCCACUGAUUUCAAGUGAAAAAUAAGAAAGAAUACAAACCACUAGAUUUUCCAUGGUGGAAAAAGUAGUUGAUUUGCCAUGUACCAAACAGGGGAGGGGGCGGAGGAAAAAAUGCACGAUAGGAGAUUUUUGCCAUGAGAAUUGGCAUAUAUUCUUCAUCACAUUGCAGUAAAUGACUGGGACUAGUGUGAUUUGGUAGGGAAAAUAUAGCAUAAAUUUUCCCACCACACUAUAGCAGCCCCCCACCUCACCCCACCCCAACACCCACAUGUGUAGUACACAUGGAUGGGAAUUAACUGAAAUGUGUGAAAUUGCCAUGAGGGAGAUAACAAGGAAAGAUGUUAAUCUUAAAGCACACUAAGGCAUAGCCUAGUGGUGGAAAGGGGCCGGGUGUCUUCUCACUCAUCAAGGAUCAAGAUAUGGCNNNNNNNNNNNNNNNNNNNNNNNNNNNNNNAAAAAAAAAAAGAUCAAGACAUGGUACUUGCGGUUUAGAUUUGUUGCACCCAUUAUACUAUUGGGUCCACCUUACGGUCUUUCUGUCAAAAAAAGUGACUGGUAGAAUUAUGUUGGUGUAACAAGAUGUAGUGGUCAAAAUUUGUAGUGGCAGUACAAACAAAGUUGCCAUGAGUUUGUAACGGCAUUUUUCAUCUGGGAUAGUGCAUGAGGAUUGGAACCCCUCCUUUGUGAAUAAAAAUGGUGUUUGUGUUGUUGCAAAAAAAUCAUUUGCCAUGCAAAUUGAAUGGGAUUUGCCAUGUAAAUGAGCAUAAACUUGCAUGUAGUAAAGAAAGAAAAAUAUGUUUGUUAAGAUUUUGCUGAGAAACCAAGAUGGUUAUGAUAUGUGGGUCAUAAGAGCAAUUCCAACGCGGUGACCCAAGCGGGUACGGGUUUUGUCUGGAUUUUGUUCGUUUGGGUCGUCCGUCCGUCUAGCGAACAUGAGACAGACACACGUGGGCGGUGGACGAAUCCAACACACAAGAUGCAAAAAGCGGACAAGUGAGGCUGCCGGCGUGGAAGACAUGGCUUUCCUCUCGCGUCGCCGUGCUCCUCCGCGGUCAUGGCCUGCACGACGCUUUCCUCAUGUUUCCCCUCCCAUCAUGGCCGACGACCCCGCCUCCGCCGCACCCUCCUGCUCCUCCGACGAAGAUGAGGAGGGCACCGACAGCGACGCCUUCAACGAUUCCCACCCGGCCGCUGACCAGGAGGCCCCGCUUCCCGACUGCCCGCCCCCGCCUCCUCUAGUGCCCGCUGCCACUGCCUUCCUCGAACCAGUCGGUCUAGUUUCGCCGCCUCCGCCACAGGCCCGCAAGGGGCGAGUGUCGCGACUGCGGCGGAGGACUCGAGGGGGUUGUUCCAGCGGCUGUGGACGGACAAGGAGGAGCUGCUCAUCCUGCGUGGCUUCCUCAAGUUCACGAGGGUGCCAUCUACGACGUCGCAUGCUACAUCCUGCGCCGGUGGCCUCGCCGGUGAGUACCGCGGCGGCCUGCGCCGGUGGCCUCGUCGGUGAGCUCCACGACGGCCUGCAUCGGUGGCUUGGUCGUUACAGUUUUGGAGGAAAUGCGACGCGGCGGUUAUGAAGGAAGUGCGGGUCGCUGAUAGAUAGGACCAGGGCAGACACGAGAGGGGAGGAGCGGACGACGGGAGCGCCCAGUUUUGUCCGUCACGGACCCAUUUGUGGCCCAUUUUUGUGUCUAGUUUGGGUCGGAACGGACAACAAACGGAUAUCAUGUGGACGCUUCGGCCGUUUGGGUCGUCCGGUUGGGCCAAGUUUUCUAUCCAAAUGACCCAAACGGAUGAUUGAAGUUGCUCUAAAGUAAAUGAUUUGCCAUGACAAAAAAAGAUAGUACUUCGUAUUUAUAAGUUGUAGCGUAACAAAUUUUCAUGAGAACAUGAGUACAAAAUCAGAUACCUUUAUUUAUGGCCAUUGUCCCUGUACACCCUUUGAUGAGUACUCUGACUUGCAGCUGUUCGUACUUUAAAUCAUGGACUCACUCAACUUGCCCAGCGCUACCCUGCUGCAAAAUGUUGUGAAUGAAGGUACGAUGCGUGUGUAUAGGGCUCAACUUUGACCUAGGGAAACGGAAGUUGUUGAAAGUAUACAAUAACUUUUGUGUAGCAUGAUAAUUUACGCAGGGCAGAACUGAUAACUUACGUAUAAAUACCAUAAUAAUUUUUAAACCGAGAUUUUUCUUGUUAAAAAUACAACCUCGUAACUUUCUUUGUACUACCUCCGUUGGGGUUUAUAGAACCGAAAAACCAGCACAGCAAGACAAAGACACUUACUUUUUCAAAUGCGUGACCCAUUGAUUUUUUUCAAAGAUUGCAUCGGUUAUCCUGCCCUACAUACAUGCAUCCAAUGAAUAGCCUGCAUGCAACGAAGUACUGUUUUUUCAUGGCUGCAUGCAGCGGCUUUGACCAAUCUUUUCACAAACCAACAGUUCUAGCACCUGGCCUUCUAAUCGUAGCGGGUCAUGUAAACUCGAACGGAUGUACUCCUCCGUUUCAAAAUAAGUAUCGCAAAUUUAUAACUAAACUAGCAUAAUAUUUAUACUAAGUCAUCGUAUUUUAGGACGGAAGGAGUAGUAUACAGCAUGAUAAUAUACACACCAUAGUUACUUAUCUAAUUUGUAACUGAUAAUUUUUUAUUUAAAAAAAGUUGUCGGAACGUAUUAACAUGAGAUCUAGUUUUAAAGGUCUUGUGACAGAUUUUUCUAAUUUAUUUUAAUGAUGAUAUAUUUUGAAUCAAACCUACUGUUUAAGCUACGAAAAAAUUUAAAAUUAGAAGGAUCUGGAGUUCAUCAUCUUUUUGUUCUUUAAUGUAUGCAUGCAUGUGAAUGUGUGAAGAAGAUUGGGGGAACCAUUUUUUAUGCCUCAUUAACCUCUAUACAAUUUAUAUAUCACAAACGUGAUAACUUACAUAGCUCAUACAUAAUAACUUUGGACCCGAAAAAAAGACAUAGAAACGUAUCAAUACCAUCAAAACAUAUCAAUAUAGACAUGAAAUCUAGUUUCAAAGACCUCGUCACAGCAAAUUUAAUGAUGGAAAUAGAUUUUUAAUUUGGCUUUUCGUUUAAGGGAUAAGACAUUUUGAAUUUUGAGAAAAUGAUGUUUACAUCAUCUACAUUUGUUUUCACUUGCAUGUAUGCAUGGAUGCCAUUCCGCACUUUCCCUCGUCAGGGACUGUUCGCCCAUUAUUACAGUCGAAAACUAAAACAAUGAUAUGUACUCCCUCUGUUCCUAAAUAUAAGUUUUUUAAGAGAUUUCAAAACUAAAACAAUGAUAUGUAAUUACAUACUCUUAAAAAUAAUAAUUAAAUAAAAAGACAAUCCUUGGAAAUUACCAGUCUAGUCUUAUUCUAAGACCUGACGAAACAUUAUUGAGUACCCGUCAUAUACAAGAGGAUUCGCUAGCAAAGGACUAUCAGAAAGGUUCAGGCAAUCUGCUGCCCAGGUCAUACACGAUUAUUCAUCAGGUUGGACACAAGCUAAGCUGCUUUCCUUCUGGAGAGUAAUUUGAAAAACUGUUCAAAGGCAGGGUAGAAUGAUCAUCCUUCGUGAUACACUAAACUGGAAACAAAAAACUCAGCUCGAUGCAUUUACAUGGACAGAAAUCGAAGUAUGUAACGGGUGAAGCUACCAUCAUGCCUCCAGGUCGUUCAGGUUUCUCGGAACUUUGACAAAAAGUUUUGAAACGAAGAGAAACCUUCCAUCGCAUCGUGCGGCAUGUUAAGCGUGAAAGGGGGAAGAACACUCGGACCAGCCUUCAGGUUCUUCGGGCCAGCGGCUGACGGUAGCGCAAGUGCAGGCUGCUGUCUGUUGAGCUUUUCUAUGAUGUACGAGAAAGUUCCAAAAGCCAGGCAGCUCUGAAUCAGAGUUUGCGGUGCACCUGCAACAGACAGCAGAAAAUAUGGUACUGAGGUGAUCGAUACAUAUGAAGCAGUUUAUUUAUGCUACAGGAGCAAAAAUAGAAACAUUAACUCCUGCCCCACUCCCUACAAAAAGCAAAGAGAGAAGUUGUAUUCUCAGCACAAAUGAUGAUCCAAACUAACCCCUUUGAUUAUACGAUUUUGGUUAGUAGAAUCUACAUUUCUACGAUCCUAAUAGUUAAGAUUCUACCACUGGUGAUCACUGGUGGAGCUACAGUGGAUUUCUUGGGCGGCCCAACCUGAAGAAGAAACCAUAAGAGAUGGGCCAGGCCACUUGGCAAGCUAGUUAGGCAGUUUUUCAGCUAGGCAGGGCGGGCCAGAGCACAGGUUCGCCCCAACGUAGCUCUGAUCCGAUUCAAAAUAACGAUUUUGACAACCUUGUCGAGCGACCAAGCGGAACGCUCGUUUCAGCAUCUCUCCCUCUCUCGAUCCGCGACGACGGCAAAGCACUCCCACCUCUCCCUCUCCGGCAACGGCUGUCCUAGCCUCCCCCCACUUCUGUCCUCUGAUGGCAUGCAGCAGCAGCGGGCAGCCAGGUACAAGCUGGGUGACGAUCAAGCAGCUGGACGGCGGCUGUAGCGGACAGCUUGGGCAGAGCGGAGGCAGUAGAAGGAGCAGAAGGAGCAGCAGCUCAUGGGCUGUGGCUGGUAGUUGCAGGUGGCGGCCUCACAUGCUGGGCGGCGGCCAGGCGCUGCACGUCUCGAUUUGUUGAGCGACACAACAUGAGGAAUUGGCAGGCGGUGGCUACACCACAGAAGAGCAGGCUCUGCUCCAUUGUCCACUCUCCCUUGUGCGUUUGCUAGACUAGUGAUAAUCACCUAAAUGGAAAUUGUACAUGCUUUUUCUUGCCUUUUGCAACUACAGAAAAUUUGUGCAUGUUGUGGACCAUUUAUUGAUGAUUCUUUCUAAAUUUGUUAGUAAAAUAUGAUUGUGUAAGACUAUUGAUGUUAUUUAUUUGACAUGAUUGUGAUGCAAAAUAUAAAUUAUUGGUGAACAAAAAAUAAAUAAAACAUUGUUUUGAAAUUAAAUAAAGUGAUUCCGAAAAUACAAUUAAUGUUGCAUAUAUAGCCAGAAAAGCAAAACACUAAUCUGAACAUUUCUCAUUAUUCCAUUCCAUCAACCAAACACUGAGAUGUAACUGUUUCAUUCCACCUCAUUAUUCAUACGAAACACAAAGAUGGAACCAUUACAUUCCAUUCCACUUGGUUCUUCAACCAAACACACCCUCAGUGUCUUUGGCGGCACGGCUGGCUUCUGGGCGAUAGGGCAUGCUCGUGGCGGCCAUGGCGGCGACCUAUGUUNGAUAUGGCGUCCAGCGGAGGCUAGCGGCGCGUGUCGAUGGCUUCUGUUGUGCCUAAGACGGCAAUGGCUGGCGACAAUGGUGGCCCAACAGUGCUCGGUCACGACAGCUGCCAAGGCUUCGCCUUUCUCUAUGGGCACGUAGGGCGUGUGAGAUGGUGGCCCUAGGCAGGUUACGGUGGGGGUGGCGACAGUGUGGGGUCCUAAAGGAGGAUGCGGCCGGCGAUGCCGAGGCUGCCCGAAGACCGAAAGUGUCGGUUCCUGGGCAGCUCCCUAUUGAGAUCUGGAGGAGCCAAAUCUUGAAGGAGCACUAGCUGCCGAUCCGUCCAGAGGUUUUGCAGGCAGGUGGCUGGCGCGCGAGCCGAGGUGCAGGGUUUGGGUAUCCCACCCCCCUCAUGGACGGGCAGUUCGUUGGGCAGCCAUGGCGGCGGUGCUGCCCGGCUAUGGCCGUUGGCCUUGUGGUGGGACCCCGAGGGCAGGUGUCUUCUUCCCUUCGGUCGGCGACGGCCACAUGCUAUGCCGUCGGUGAGAGGUUCGGAUAGGGAUGUCGAGGCGGUGGCCUCAGGUGGCGGGCUACUCGAUAGGCUCUCGACGGGUGUACGGGUGUACGGGUGGCACAGUGGUGGUUGUGCUUCUUGGUCAUGUGGGUGGCGAGAGGUGUUGUGGUGGGUGGCAUUGGUGUCUUCUCUGUUGUGGCAGCGAAGGUGCGCAGAUCUGGUCAUGGAGAUCCCGGCUUCGUAGCAGCGGUUGACUUCGUUACUUCUUUGUGGCUCAGGGUAACAACCGGGUGAAAGCUCUGCGCUUCGUCCCCGGCAGAGACGGCGUCCAUGGGUGCUACUUUCCUCUUGAGGAUGUUGUCGCAGUUUCCCCUACCAGGUUUCUGAGUGAAAACAUUUGUUUGUUCCGUCGGCAACGGCGAUGAAUUGUGCCAUUUCCCUCUUGAGAGUGCCUUAUCUUUGGUUGUGGCGUGGUGUUGUCUUCACGCCCUUUUGUAUUCUUGCUCAUCUUCGUCGUGUCUUCCCAUCCGAUGUGUGUUGUCCAUUUUUUUUUCUAUUUUCUACUUUGUUUGAGGGCUUCCUCACCAUCAUGUAUCGUUCAACCAUGUACUUGUGGUUCGUGCUUUACCAUCCAUGCCAGCAAUUGUGCAUCCAUAAAUGGAACCAAGGGGGUAAGGCAAAUCAAGGAGACAAAAUAAAAAUCUAUGACAUCAAAACUGUAAGAACUAAGAAAAUGUGUCAUGUAACACCAAACUAAUUCGGAAAUCAUUAGCAAUAUGCGGUAAACCACAAGAGAGUACAGAAGCAAGUGUACAACUGAUGGAGAACUCAAAACGAUCAACUUUUUAGCCAUAAAACUUGCAACUGAUGCCAGAUAUCUAACCAUGACCUAAAAGGCUAUGCGUGCUUUCAAAACAAAUCACAAGUCCAGAAACCACCAUGACACUAGCACACGUUUGCAGCCAACACUGGGGUUGCCAACCAGGUAAAUUUUUUAUCCAAAUAACCUACACUAGGCAACUAGAAUAAUACAGGCAAAUCAUUUUCACUCUUACUGUUAAACUACAUUAAACUAUGUCAAAACCAUGGUCUUUGGGCAAGGUAUCCAGGAACAACGUUAAAUUUAGAUAGUUCCAGCUAUUAAUUGCAUUGCUAUAACUUUACCUGGAAAACUCAAAGCAAGGCCAGUGCAACAGCCUGCAACUCCUGCAUUAAUAACUGUAGACAAAAGAUCCACAAGUCAAUGGUCAUCCUUGUCAUUUUAUACACCCUAAGUACUUCAAAAAAGGUAGCAGAAUAGCAGCACAAUCUUAAAGGGGGCAUCAAAGACAGACCGUCAUCUUUUCCACGUAGCUUUCUCAAAGAGCAAGAAACCAAACUUUGAACGCCGGCAAGAACAGCAAAUAUCUAGAACAACAGACAAAAUUCUCAAUGUGAUGGUUAACAGAGAAAAGUCUAUUCCAAACGAAAUGAACAUUGGUAUCCAAUUAAUGAAAUAUGUAUCAUCAUACCUUAGCAGAAGAGGCAGCGUCAGCAAAUGAGCCUUUAAACCCUUUUGUGGUAACCAAACCUUUUCCUAAAAAAUCACCAGAUAUAGUUAACAUAACAAAGAGAUAAUUGUUGUGUUUUGAAUAGAAGGAUGACACACAGCAGGGCAGCCUGACAUAACGUAUACCAAACAAAAAUAUUGUGCACAAUGAACACACAAGGCUGAACCAAUUCAAAUUUACAGGUAGCAUUAAAUGAUUGAAUUGAUUUGACAUGACCACCAGAUCCACUACCAUAUUCCAUAAAAGAUCUACAUUGUUAUAUUCAAGGUGGUAAUGGACGUAACCAGAUAGGCUAUUUUUGUUAUCCGCAAAUUAAGGUGGCAUUUAGUUGGUGAUUGGUUCACUUUGCCUCAGCCUGACUGUCAGUGGUGGAGUGCACAAAGCAGCAAUUGGUUUCUUUAUACAAAAUUAGAGCAGUGAUUAAGUAUCACCCAUGCAUGUUGAGCAACUUAACAUGAUAACAGACACCGCGAAGCUCCAUACGUGCCUCCUUUACUAAGAAAGACCCUGCAUGAGAAUGCAAUGUCGGGAGCAUCUAAUCUACCAAUUAAUCACCAGGUCUAGGUAAAACAGAUUUGACAAUUGACAUGCUUUGGAUUUUGGGCAUCCAAAAACUUCUUUGGAUGACAAUGAGACGCAAAAUCCAAAAAUUGGAUUCUAAAAUUAGGCGUAUGCUUGAACCUAUUUCUGUGCCAAACCACUGGUAACAGAUUAGCAACCAAGAACGGAGCUAGGUGUGUAACUCCAUUGUCUCUUUGUGUGUUGCUUUUACUUUAGUUCUUAGUCCACAACAGGUUGUAUGAACACACCACAAACACACAGUAAACAUACGAGUUGAGUAUGUUUGUAUGAGCCAAAAGAAAGUUCUCUACCAAAUUUUCUGAGAAAACCCGCACAUGUUCUGUAACAUUUUCUUUCAUUUGGCAGCAUUAGCAAGUAAUUUCCCCCCCCCCAUUUUAUCCUUUUGCAAGGAAUAAACACACACUGCAGCUUCCAGAUAGGUACGUAUGCAUGCAGUCAGGCCUUGAAUCAAGUAAACGGAGCAAAAACAAUUUGGUUUUACCAACAUUUCUGAGAAACUUCGCACAUGUUUCAAUCUCAGUAAGCACGUGCUUUUUCACGAGGAAUAAUUAUGCGGUUAACUGUAAAAUCCAUCAAUAAUCUGCUCCAUAAUCCUUGGUGCCAGUGUCACACAAAUUAAACAAAAUUGCUACAAGUUCAACUAUCCUGAAUAUGUAACUGUAAUCAGCUGCAUGAAACCCAAACAACACACCAUGUGCUGCAAUUGAGCCUUAUCUCCUAAAUGUCCUCAACACUGGCACAGUAUACUGCGAAUCUAACAAAGAAAAACCAUAAUCAAUGCCUUAUGAAUGACACUACCCAUAGACCGUGUGAACAAUCAGUACUAAGAGCUCAAUUGCACACCCCAGAUUAGACGAACACCUUAAGACACAACCUUAUGGAAUAUAAUCAAAUCUGAUCUCCUGCCAGUCAAAAACCUUAUCAAAUUACGAGAGGCCUAAAAUAGAAAGGGAGCCAGCCAGGACCAAAGAUCGCAGAGCCCUAACCCUAACGGACGUGUCGAGCCGAACGAGGAGGUGGAGGGGACGGCGGUGUUACCAUAUCCAACGACGGCUCCGACGAGGGAACCGGCGGCCGACUCCCAGGCGAAGCGGAGGAGGCAGACCCCAGGNNNNNNNNNNNNNNNNNNNNNNNNNNNNNNNNNNNNNNNNNNNNNNNNNNNNNNNNNNNNNNNNNNNNNNNNNNNNNNNNNNNNNNNNNNNNNNNNNNNNNNNNNNNNNNNNNNNNNNNNNNNNNNNNNNNNNNNNNNNNNNNNNNNNNNNNNNNNNNNNNNNNNNNNNNNNNNNNNNNNNNNNNNNNNNNNNNNNNNNNNNNNNNNNNNNNNNNNNNNNNNNNNNNNNNNNNNNNNNNNNNNNNNNNNNNNNGACUUCAAUGAUUGCCGUAAAAGAUAGCGCGUGAGAGCCCCAUACCUGACCAAACGAGCCGGCCCGACACGGCCCAUGGUAAUCGGGCCUGGCACGGCACGGCCCGUCCAGGCACGUUUAUUAAUCGGGUCGUGUCGUGUCAGCCCGUGGGCUGCGCCUCUAGGCCUGUAAGAUUUGAGAGAGAGAGGUUUUGGAUCAGCACACUUUAUUCAAUCUAAACCAUGAUGUCUAACAGAAAACCCUAAGGAGGUAGUCAGCGGCAGCAAUCGUGCGAGGUGGGUUAGUGCUGGGUUAUCGAUUCCGAGGCAUGCGGACGUGCAUGCGUGCUGGGUCAUCGCCAUGCAUGGGCUUGCUUGAGGGCCAAGUCGGCCGACGCCAUGGGCUGUAGUGAGGUCUAUUCCAAAACCACCCCUCCCCCCCCCCGCCCGCAGUCGAUGCCUCGCUGUCGGAGAUGCAUAGACCGGAGCGGAAUUCCCGAAACAUCGACGGUGGAAGCCCCUUGGUCAUGACGUCGGCGAACUGUUGAGCCGUAGGUACGUGAAGAACACGGACAUGCCCCAGCGCCACCUUCUCGCGGACGAAAUGGAUGUCGAGCUCGAUGUGCUUGGUGCGACGGUGAUGGAUGGCAGAGAGGUACACCGCCGAGACAUUGUCGCAGUAGACUACCGUGGCUUUGGCGACGCCGCAUUGUAGCUCAGUUAAGAGCUGACGCAGCCACGAGCACUCGGCAACCGCAUUGGCAACGGCAGGGUACUCGGCCUCCGCGCUAGAGCGGGACACGGUGGGUUGCCGUUUGGACGACCACGACACCAGCGAAGGCCCCAUGUAGAUGCAGUAGCCAGAGGUGGAGCGGCGAGUGUCGGGGCAGCCGACCCAGUCGGCGUCGGAGUAGGCGACGAUGUCGAGCGACGAGGAGGCGCAGAGAGAGAGCCCAAGCGAGGGCGACCCGUGGAUGUACCUCAAGAUGCGCUUCACCAAUGUCCGGUGAACGUCACACGGAGCAUGCAUUGUGGAGGCAGACUUGUUGCACCGCGUACUCGAGAUCGGGCCUCGUCAGUGUCAGGUACUGGAGGGCGCCGACGAUGCUGCGGUAGAAGGAGGCAUCGGAGAAGGGGACGCCAGCCUGCCCUAAGACCUUGCCCGAGGUGUCGAUGGGGGUAGAUGCUGGCUUACAGUUGAUCAUGCCGGCGCAGUCCAGCAGUUCGAGGGCGUACUUCUUCUGGCAGAGGAAGAAGCCAUCGGAGCGGCGCGUGACCUCCACGCCCAGGAAGUAAUGGAGCGCGCCAAGGUCCUUCAGGGCGAACUCGCAUUGAAGGAGACCGACGACGCGACGGAGGAGAGCGUCGGUGGAGGCCGUCAAGACAAUGUCAUCGACGUACAGCAGAAGGUACACCAUGUCAGUGCCACGGCGGUAGACGAACAACGAUGCGUCGGACCUGGUGAUGACGAAGCCGACACGGACCAGGAACGCGGUAAUGCGUUGGUACCAGGCGCAGGGAGCGUGCUUGAUGCCGUAGAGGGACCGAGAGAGCAGGCAGACGUCGUCGGGGCGCGCAGGGUCGACGAAGCCAGCCGGCUGCUGGCAGAAAACUUGCUCCGUCAGGUGCCCGUGCAAGAAGGCGUUGGAGACGUCGAGUUGAUGGACGACCCAGCGGCGCGAGUAGGCGAGCUGAAGGACACAAUGACUCGUGCCCGGCUUCACGACGGGGGCGAAAGUCUCGGUGAAGUCGUGUCACGCCCAAGAUGCGACCCUAUCCUCAAUUUGGCACGAGGGCCUCGUCAGGGAUAGAAGCGCAUCUCGUCGUGUCGCAAGAAUGGAUAUCGUUACAAGUACAUGUACUAAAAGGAAGAGAUAUAUAAUAGAAUUGGCUUACACUUGCCACAAGCUACAUCAGAGUCACAUCAGUACAUUACAUAUUCAUCAUGAAGAAGAGCAGGGUCCGACUACGGACGAAAACAAACGAGAAAAGAAGAACGGCGUCCAUCCUUGCUACCCCAGGUUGCCGGCCUGGAACCCAUCCUAGAUCGAUGAAGAAGNNNNNNNNNNNNNNNNNNNNNNNNNNNNNNNNNNNNNNNNNNNNNNNNNNNNCCUUUACCUGUAUCUGCAACUGGUGUUGUAGUAAUCUGUGAGCCACAUGGGACUCAGCAAUCUCAUUUCCAAAGGUAUCAAGACUAGCAAAGCUUAAUGGGUGAGGUAAGGUUAAGUGGUGAGGUUGCAGCAGCGGAUAAGCAUAUAUUUGGUGCCUAAACUUACGAGUACAAGAAAUAAGAGGGGGAAGAUCUACGCAUAACGGACGUGAACUACUGGUGAUCAAAGGAAUGAUCCUGAGCACCUACCUACGUCAGACAUAACCCCACCGUGUCCUCGAUCGGAGUAAGAACUCACGAAAGAGACAGUCACGGUUACGCACCUAGUUGGCAUGUUUUAAUUAAGUUAUCUUCAAGUUAUCUAGAACCAGUGUUAAACAAAGCUUCCACGUUGCCACAUAACCGCGGGCACGGCUUUCGGAAAGAUUCAACCCUGCAGGGGUGCUCCAACUAGUCCAUCACAAAUUACCACAAGCCGCAUAGAAAUCCUCAAUCACGAAGCUCGCGAUCUCGUCGGAUUUCCUAGUGGAAAACCUCAACUCUGAGAUUACCCAAAGCAUCACCGGAAUCCCGAUGCACAAGAUAUCUCGUCAAAGGUAAAACUAAUCCAGCAAGGCCACCCGCGCGUGUCGACGAUCCCGAUAGGAGCCGCGUAUCUCGUUCUCAGGACACGAUGGAUGAGCGACGCGUACGGUGGCCUGAUAGAAAUCACCCAAGUUUCCCUGGGUUGGCCCCGCACAGUGCUCUGUUUUGGACCAGCACCAUCAGCACUGGCCCUCCCUGUAUUAUGUAGAAUUACUCCUCGGGUUCAUGACGCCCUAUGCUUUCAGUAUUAACAAAAUUAUUAUGUUGGGAAAAUGUAGUACCAAUGUUGGGCCUUGCCAGACCAGCUUUAAUCUAAAACGAAUUAUCAAGGGGGUCCCCAUAACAACCCCCAUCGUGUUAGGAGCGCUCAAUUAUGGAACAUAACACCGGUAGCCGAAACUAAGGGGGCAAAGGUGGAACAAAACACCAGGCUAGAAAGGCCGAGCCUUCCACCUUUUACCAAGUAUAUAGGUCCAUUAAAUUAAAUAGCAUUAAUAUGGUGAUAUGACAAGGAACUCAUGUUUUCACAUGGAAGCAACUACACCUGCAACUAGCAACGCUAACAACAUGGUUAAGCAAGCAGUAGCAUAGCCAAUCAGUGGUUUGCUAGGUUGAACAAGUUGAAGGUUUCAUGGCAUUGUUGAGAGGCUGAUAUUUAACAUGUGGUAGGCAACGAGACAUAAUCGAUAGAAGCGGUAAAACUAGCAUGGCAAUGAUAGUAAUGGUAUCCGGGGAAAUGGUCAUCUUGCCUGAGAUCCCACUUGGAAGAAGAACAACUCCGUGAAGUCGGCGAACCAAUGUGGUCAGACGGGUCCUCACAUUCCGACACGCUUGCGGAACUCUAUUGAGACGGAGCAAACCGGAAACAAACAUCAACACAGAUAUUCACCACACGAUGCACAACAUGAUGCAUACCCAAUAUGAUGCAUGGACGCCCAACCCCUAAUGAUGCACUUAAACCAUCCUACAUCGGUAAACAGGUGCCACAUCAUCAUGAAGUGACACCUCAGCAGGACUGCCCAAAACUGGAAACUACUAACUCCAUUGGAUUCCUUGGGUUCUCCUCCCCCAAAUCUAUAUACUACACUCCUAUAUAUGCAUGCAGAAAAACACCAGAAACAGCAAAGGAAAAACUACACAAGAUCAAACUCUGCUAACAACAAGAACAGGGGUUGUUCUUGAUAUGCCAGAUUUGGCAUAUACCUCUUCUGAAAUAUCCAGAUAUGGAAAUACAUCACAACACCAAUCAACAAAAUUAUAUAAUCGUCAGGGGGUCCCACUGGUCAUACUCACCAGGGCCCCUAGUAAGGCAUGUGGGCUCUGGACCCACUGACAGAGGCACACUACAACAAGCAACUAAAAACACAAGGGAAAAAACUAACAUGGGAGUAGGGGGACUCGAACCCACUACCUUCUUGCAAGACAACAGGGCAAUCACCACUGAGCUAGGCUCGGAUCACUGCCCUAACAAGGGGAGUAACCCACCUAUGCUACACGUGCAGACAACGCAACAAAUUGAAACAAAAACCCAAAUAAGAGGACGCGCGAGGGGCUCGAACCCUCGACCUACUGGCGCUGCAGUGGCUCGGUUGCCACUACGAUGGUGAAGUAUAACUGCUAGAACAAGGGAAGAAAUGCACAUAUGCAGGCUCUGCUAGCUAGCACAGGAGAACAAAAAUCGUAGAGAAUAAAAGGGGGGCGCUGGGUCUCGAACCCGAGACGUUGAGAACGAAAACAUGCUCGAUGCCACUGCGCUACCGUGGGGAUUCUGCCUAAGAAGGGAGCAAAGCAGAUCUAAAAGAAAACAUGGGGCGUCGCUGGAGCAGGGAGACGCCGGCGACGACGACGCGCGCCAGAGCCACUCGCCUGCAGGCGCAUACGACGCACAACCACGCGAUGCGCUACGUCCCUCGCGUCACUACAUAGCAGGCGCGGAACCUACGCCUAUAAGACGCAUGCACGCAGAGCUGCGGAAACUAGCGCAUCCUGCCGGUGCAACUCCGACAGGGCGGCGCCCACGCGCAACAUCGGCGACCUACUGCAGAGAGGGAAACGAAGGGGGGAUAGAGCUGCGCUCACCCAGGGUGCAGAGAGAGGGCUCGCGGGAGGGGAGACACGCCGCGCGACGACGUCCUGCUGCAGAGAACUCGUCGGAGAGGAAGAAGGACCAUCCGCCGAGGAGGUCGAGGCCGUCGUCCUUGGCGCUAGCUGCCCGUGGGAAUGGAACUCCAUGGGCGCCCGCGAGCUCCUGGUCCAGGAGGGGGAAGAAGGGGGCGUCGGGCUACCACGCAUCAGGCACUUGCCCGAGCCGGCCAUGGUGCGGUGGAGCUCGGGAACUCGCCCCGACGGCGCUAGGAGGGANGACGAGGGUUAGGGUUUCAGAGAGUCCGAGGCUGCUAAGUAUCUCGCACCACCCGCUCGGGGCCGUCUGAUCGAGGGAAGAAACGAUCUAUGGUGGUCAGGGGGUUCGUACGUGCUGACAUGAUCGAGGAGGAAGAAGCUGCCGCCAGCCAGGCCUGGGCUGAUUGCACUCACCUGGGCCUGGUGCUCCCUCUCUCACUGAGAAGGCCUACCUAAUAAAACAUUACAGCGAAAAUCAAACCACACGGGCUAAAGGAAAAUAGUUUUGGUGGAAACAAAAAUAUAACUGGGCUUUUAAAAUGUUGCCACUGUUUAUAAAAAUAAGUGGAACAUUUUUAGAAGUCCAAAAUUAUAUUCAUCUAAUUUAAAUGGGCUUUGAUUUUUUAAAUAAGAUAAGAAGGAAAGUAAAGUAGAAACCAGAGGGGUUGCCUCCACAAAAUGAAAAGGAUUUUUUUUAGGGAAAGAUGAACAUUUUUUUAAAUGGAGAAACAAAGCCUUUUAAACCUGCCACAAAUUAACAUAGAGAGAGAAGGGUUUUCUCCUUAUGGAGCAACAUGUGGGUUUUGACAUGCACUUGUUGCCCCCACACCUAAACAAUCACUAAGGACAUCAACACAACACUUGCACAUCACAACAAGGACACCCACAUCAACACAACCACAACAAAAGGGAAAGAAUGCAAUGCAAGAAGGCAUGAUGCACAUGAAAUGAUGACACAAAGUUAGGCUCACCCCACAUCACACCAACAUGCCAAGGUUGCCAUACAAGGAGGAUACAAAAGGGGAGGGGAGAUUGCACUUGGGCUGUCACAAGUCGAGACCAGCCCGUUGCCGGAAGCCGCGAACGACCCAGCUGCCAGGUGCGAUUCCUCAGUAGCGCGUCGUACUCGUCUUGCAUGACGGCGCGCCAGUGAGGGUCCCGGAGCGCCGAGUGGACGGACGCAGGGAGCGGCGAAGGAGCCGUCGUGGUGGCAGUGCAGACGUACUCGUUGGAGGAGUACCUCUGGCUGGGUCGAUGGACACCCGCGCGCGCACGGGUAAGCACUCCGAAGUGUACGGGGGCAGCAGGUGGGGCAGUUGAGGGAGAGGCCGGCCCCGUACUGGGCACGGGGGCAGCAGGUGGUGGAGGCGUCGUGCCGACAGGAGCGGGGCCCGGUGGUGCAGGAGACGGGGCCGAGACGCCCGGGGCAACUAGCGGAGAAGNNNNNNNNNNNNNNNNNNNNNNNNNNNNNNNNNNNNNNNNNNNNNNNNNNNNNNNNNNNNNNNNNNNNNNNNNNNNNNNNNNNNNNNNNNNNNNNNNNNNNNNNNNNNNNNNNNNNNNNNNNNNNNNNNNNNNNNNNNNNNNNNNNNNNNNNNNNNNNNNNNNNNNNNNNNNNNNNNNNNNNNNNNNNNNNNNNNNNNNNNNNNNNNNNNNNNNNNNNNNNNNNNNNNNNNNNNNNNNNNNNNNNNNNNNNNNNNNNNNNNNNNNNNNNNNNNNNNNNNNNNNNNNNNNNNNNNNNNNNNNNNNNNNNNNNNNNNNNNNNNNNNNNNNNNNNNNNNNNNNNNNNNNNNNNNNNNNNNNNNNNNNNNNNNNNNNNNNNNNNNNNNNNNNNNNNNNNNNNNNNNNNNNNNNNNNNNNNNNNNNNNNNNNNNNNNNNNNNNNNNNNNNNNNNNNNNNNNNNNNNNNNNNNNNNNNNNNNNNNNNNNNNNNNNNNNNNNNNNNNNNNNNNNNNNNNNNNNNNNNNNNNNNNNNNNNNNNNNNNNNNNNNNNNNNNNNNNNNNNNNNNNNNNNNNNNNNNNNNNNNNNNNNNNNNNNNNNNNNNNNNNNNNNNNNNNNNNNNNNNNNNNNNNNNNNNNNNNNNNNNNNNNNNNNNNNNNNNNNNNNNNNNNNNNNNNNNNNNNNNNNNNNNNNNNNNNNNNNNNNNNNNNNNNNNNNNNNNNNNNNNNNNNNNNNNNNNNNNNNNNNNNNNNNNNNNNNNNNNNNNNNNNNNNNNNNNNNNNNNNNNNNNNNNNNNNNNNNNNNNNNNNNNNNNNNNNNNNNNNNNNGGAGGCGAGCUGGAGACCUGUUGAAAGGGAAAAACAUACUCGUCAAAGUACACGUACCUGGAGAUGAGAACUCGCCCAGAUGCCGGAUCGAAGCAACGGAAACCCUUGGUAUUGGGGGGGGGGUAGCCGAAGAAUACGCAGAGAAUAGACUGGGGGCGAGUUUAUGUGGAGAAGUAGCGAGAAGAUUAGGAUAACAGAGGCAACCAAACACCCGGAGGUUGUCGUAGGAGGGUUGGUGACCAAAGAAGAGGUGAUCGGGAGUGAAUUGGCCACGAGCACGGUAGGGGCGCAGGUUGAGGGUGUGGGUGGCGCUGGAGAGAGCCUCGGUCCAGAACCGGGGCGGAACGGCGGCGUGAAGGAGCAGCGCACGAACAACGUCGUUGAGGGUACGAAGAGCACGUUCGGCACGCCCAUUUUGCUGGGAUGUAUACGGGCAUGUAAGGCGGAGGAUGGAACCGUGCGCGGAAAGCAAAGAGUGGAUGCCAUGGUUGUCGAAUUCGCGCCCGUUGUCGGUUUGGAGGCCGAGUAUAGGGCGGGAAAACUACGUUUGAACAAAGGCGAAGAACGAAGUGAGCGUGGGGAGGACAUCCGACUUGCGAUGCAACGGAAAAGUCCAUACAAAGUGCGAGAAAUCAUCGAGAAGCACCAAGUAGUAUUGAAACCCUGAAUUGCUUAUUAUUGGAGAGCACCAUACAUCACAAUGCAACAAUUCAAAUGGAAAACGAGAGAUGUGAGAAGAAGAAAAAGGAAGGCGAGUGCUCUUGCCCAAACGGCAAGCAGAGCACGAGUGAGGCGCACUUUUAAUACAUUGAAAAAGAUUGCUACGGAGGAGCUGGUGCAUGGUCGAGGCACCGGGGUGCCCCAAGCGGGCAUGCCAGAUAUCGACGCCCGCGCGAGGAGGGCGACGCCGGAGCGGAUAGAGAUCACCAGGGCUAUCACAUCGGAGCAGCACCGUCUUGGUCCGCAGGUCCUUGAUGGAGAAACCAAAGGGGUCAAAUUCAACCAAAACAAAAUUCUGACGAGUGAGUGCACGAACAGAAAUGAGAUUAGUGAUAAGCUGAGGAGAAACGAGCACAUCAUAGAGUUUAAUGGGAGAAUGAGGGGAGAGAGAGAUCACCGUGGUGUGUGAUGGGGAGAGAGGAACCAUCACCCACCACGAUGCGAGUAGAUGUAGGGAAGGGUUUAGACUGGGAGAGGAUACCAGGGUGGGAGGCCAUGUGGGAGGAUGCGCCAGUGUCCAUGAACCAGUCGUCGUUGCCGGAGUAGGCGGCCGACGAGGGAGCCUGAUGCAGGGCCGCCAGGAGCGCUGGAUCGUAGGGGGAGGACGCCCCGCCGGAGUUGCUGAGCCAGUGCCCAGGGGGCGUGGNNNNNNNNNNNNNNNNNNNNNNNNNNNNNNNNNNNNNNNNNNNNNNNNNNNNNNNNNNNNNNNNNNNNNNNNNNNNNNNNNNNNNNNNNNNNNNNNNNNNNNNNNNNNNNNNNNNNNNNNNNNNNNNNNNNNNNNNNNNNNNNNNNNNNNNNNNNNNNNNNNNNNNNNNNNNNNNNNNNNNNNNNNNNNNNNNNNNNNNNNNNNNNNNNNNNNNNNNNNNNNNNNNNNNNNNNNNNNNNNNNNNNNNNNNNNNNNNNNNNNNNNNNNNNNNNNNNNNNNNNNNNNNNNNNNNNNNNNNNNNNNNNNNNNNNNNNNNNNNNNNNNNNNNNNNNNNNNNNNNNNNNNNNNNNNNNNNNNNNNNNNNNNNNNNNNNNNNNNNNNNNNNNNNNNNNNNCGCUGCAGAGAGGACUGCUGCAUCCUCCGCUCCUUGAGGCGCAAGUAGUUGAUGGCGCGGGCGAACGUCGGCUCGGUGAGAAGGUUGAGAUUAGAAGCAGCGUUGGCGUAGUCUGAACCGAGCCCACGGAUCAGGUUCGUGAGCAUGGUGGCGUCAGAGACCGGGGCGCCCACGUCGCGGAGCUCGUCGGCGAGCACCUUGAGGCGGAGGCAGUAGUCGAAGAGCCCCAUGCCUUCCUGGGAGAGGCUGUAGAACUCGGUCGUGAGAAGCACAUGACGCUGGAGCUGAUUGUCGAGGAAGAGCUGGCAGAUGGAGGUCCAAAUGCCGAGGGCCGAGUCAUCGUCGCGGAUGACGUGCGAGAGGAUCUCGUUGCUGACGGUGCGAUAGAGCCACUUGAUGGUAGUGGCGUCAACCCUCAUCCAGUUGGCAUCGUCGCGCAUGGCGCGGGCGUCAACCGAUCUGUCGACAUGAUCCCGAAUUUGGAAUUCGCGGAAGGUCAACGAGACGUAGGUGCGCGAGGUGGAGAAGGAGGGUGUGUGGAUAUCCAGGACGACGGGGACGUGAUCCUGGAUGUGGAUGAGCCGAAGGCUGGCGGCAGAGGCAGGCUCGAGAACGGCAAAGGGGUUGACCUCGCCGGCGAGGGAGGAGCGAGGGGAGGCCAUCGCGGCGGUGGGUAGCGGAAGCGAGGAGAGGAUCAGAAGAAAACUAAUACCAUGUAAGAUUUGAGAGAGAGAGGUUUUGGAUCUGCACACUUUAUUCAAUCUAAACCAUGAGUAUUUAUACAGGUAGAUGAUCAGUGUCUAACAGAAAACCCUAAGGAGCUAGUUAGCGGCAGUGACCGUGCGAGGUGGGUUAGCAUUGGGUUAUCGAUUCCCAAGCAUGCGGACGUGCAUGCGUGUUGGGUCAUCGCCAUGCAUGGGCUUGCUUGAGGACCAAGUCGGGCCGACGACAUGGGCUAUAGUGAGGCCUGUUUCAACACCAGGCACGACCCGAUUAUUAAACGGGUCGGCAUGUUGGCCCGAUUAGCACGCUNCACGUGCCCAGCCUCCAGGCCCAGGCACGGUCCGAGGCGUGCUUCGUGUCGAGCCCGAGCACGAUUAGCCCGUGCCGGGCCGGGCCGGGCCCGUGUCGUGCCAGACACGCGGGCUGUCGGGCAAGCCCAUUUACCCGGCCCCCAUUUGGCGAGAUCUGGUUCCAGCAGACACUGUAACAAAAUCGAUGCACGUGUGGUAGUGGUGGAAAGGCACGUGGAGAAGGCGUUGAAUUUAUAAUGUGCGCCGAGCACCAUGCGCCAAAUCUAACACGUGUCGGGCCGCCUUUUCCCGUGCUUAAACUUUUCCCGCGCGUCAGAAUCUUUCGCGUGCGCUGGAGUGCACGCUAAAAUUCAAUUUUCCCUUGUGCCCACGUUUUUUAAGUCACUGUUGGAGAUGCUCUCGGGGGAACCAACUUGAGGGAGCGUGGUAUUCUUAGUCGGCCAGGUUUAAAUCUUGUGCUCGUAUUAUUUUUGAAAUUAUUUUAGGAUUUUCAGCAAUGCGCAUUUAGUGAAAAGAAUCAUUUUUGUCGACGACGAGGCGCCUAGAGUGAUUUAGUAAAUCUUAAGAUGAUAUGGUGGCUCAGUCUCUCGAAUGUGAUCAUAAGGAUAGGGUGUACGUAUAUGAGUUCAUAGGGAUGAUUAUAUACACGUGUAUAUGAGCGCUUACGUAUGUACUGUGUUAGAAAAAUACCGUCGCAUAGAAGAACACGGUUUUUUAUUUUAGAGGAAUGACCAUGUGUCUAUUAAACAAACAAUUACAAUGAAUACAUACAUAUAUACACNAUAUAUAUAUGGGGGGGGGGUCUCUUCAUGACUCAAGUGAAUGACAAGGACAAGGUUGAGAUGCCAUCUUUAUAUCAAAAUUUGUAUCAAUCAUUUCAUGACUCAAAUGGUCUGCUACAAUAAUUUCAAAGGUAUGGCACCCUCAAUCCAUCUCCCAAUAUCGUUCAAUUGCUCUUGGCACGGUGAUGUAUAAGAUUGUUGUUAAGGUAGUAGCUAAUCGUAUGAGGGGCAAUAUGAAGGUGAUCAUUAGUGAAGAGCAAAGUAUUUUUGUGCCUCGGUAUUUAAUUAAUGACAACAUUGUAUUUGCAUAUGAAAGUGUGGACACUAGGAGGCGACAAAAGAAGGGCAAGAGUUUCUCAUGCAUUGUUAAAUUGGUGAUGAAAGCCUACAACUGAAUUGAGUGGCAUUACUUGGAAGCCAUCUUGAUGAAGUUGGGUUUUAGCAUCGAUUUCGUAAGACUUAUUACGAAAUAUGUUUCGUCGGUCAGAUUCUCGGUAAGGGUGAAUCAAGAUCUUCUACCAUACUUCACUCCUACAGGGGGAUUGCGACAUGGCGUCCCAAUGUCAUUAUACCUAUUUCUGCUAUGUGUGGAAAGUUUUUCCUCGCUACUCAAAUACUAUGAUGGUGGCUAUGUGGACAAGGGGACCAGAGUCAAUUAUAGAUCACCGCGGGUGAGCCAUUUAUUAUUUGUCGAUGAUAGCCUCAUCUUCCUCAAUGCAACAAGGUUGAACUCCAUUAUUGAGAUAUGUGGAAGUGCUUCAGGGCAGAGUGUGAAUAUAGAUAAGCGGGCCAUCUAUUUUAGUCCUAACACACCGGAUCCGGUUCGACAAUUGCUGAAAACAUCCUUGGAUAUUCAUGUCGAGGCUUUCAUUGUAAAGUAUCUUGGUCUUCCAACAGCUGUGGGGCGCAUUACAAUUGAACUUUUGUACACAUGGAGAUAGGGCUCGAGGGAAGAUGCAAGAGUAGUUGGAAAAGUUAAUAGCUUGCGCCGGGAGAGAUGCAGUAUUGAAGUUCGUUGUUCAAGCGCUCCCGUUGUACAGUAUGACCACUUUUAUCUUGAACAAGAAAGUCUAUAAGAGCAUCACUUCACCAAUGGCAGAGAAAUUAUGGAGUAUCUCUUUGGACAAGAAAUCUAUGCAUUGGGUUUCAUGGUAUAAACUUGCGACUCCAAAGCGCAAAGAGGGCAUGGGAUAUUGAGACAUGCACCCCUUUAAUUUGGCUUUGCUAGGGAAGCAUGGUUGGCAUUUAUGACCUAGCCUAUAUUCCUAUAUGCAAGGGUUUUGAAGGGUCGCUACUUCCCGCACAUUGAUUUCAUGAAUGUUGUUCUUCCUCGCUCGGUAUCAGCUACAUGGCAUGCUACAAUUGCAGGAAUGGAAUCACUAAAGUUUGUUAUGAUAAAGCGAGCUGGUGAUGGAUCACCAAUUUCGUUUUGGGAUGAUAAAUGGACCGCGGGAAGUAUUUCCAUGACACCGAUGCUGAAACCGGAGAACGGGUGAUUGAAAAGGUCCCUGAGUUGAUUGAUUAGGACAAAUGUACAAGGAAUCAACAUGUGGUCAUAGAUACUUUUAUCCCGUCUCAUGCAGAUGCCAUUCUAAACGUUCCAAUUCGGCAAGGUGGAUGCAAUGAUUUUCUUGCUUGCGCAUUUGAAAAGCCAGGAAACUACAGUGUUAAAUCAGCGUACCAUAUCUCAUGACUUAAAAAGAGUGUUUGACUCUGGAAAAAGGAACGGCUACCGAGACCUCAAAGAGUGGUCAACAAUUAUGGAGUGCACUUCAGAAGUUGAAUGUUUUGCCAAGGGUUAGGGUGUUCUAGUGGAGGGUCUUGCAUGGAAUCAUGCUGGAUAUGCUUUAGGAGGGGCGCACAUUCCUGAUCUUCCCCAUGCCUGUCAGGCGAGCGAGGGCUGGGUGCGGUGCAUGUGCUCGGGUUAGCCCCAAUAGAGCAGAAAAAUCCAAGCGAUUGAGCUCUAGCUCACGGGCCUGCUCUCGUGUACAUCACCUCACCAGGUCCUUGAUGCUCUUGUCUCCUCGCGUAACAUCCAAAGGCAACCCCACGAGCGCCCUCGCUGCACUACUCUUGGCAAUUUCCCUGGUGCAAGAUAUCGAAGGCCUCAUGAGCCCCUGAUACGUCCAUUUUGCAUCAUGCUUUCAUGUUGAUAUUUAUCGCUUCUUGGGGUGUUAUUUCAUUUCACGGUACAAUACUUAUGCCUUUUCUCUCUUAUUUUGCAAGGUUUACAUGAAGAGGGAGAAUGCCGGCAACUGGAAUUCUGGCCUGAAAAAGGAGCAAGUUUGAGAUGCCUAUUCUGCGCAACUCCAAAAGCCAUGAAAAUCAACGUGGAUUUUUUUGGGAAUUUAUAAAAAAUACUGGGAUGAAGAAGUGCCAGAGGAGCGCAACCAGGGGGCCACAAGCCUCGUAGGCGCGACCACCCCCCUGGCCGCGCCUAGGGGGCUUGUGGGCUCCCUACUGGCCCACUGGCUCCCCUCUUCUGCUAUAUGAAGGGUUUCGUUCCGAAAAAAAAUCAAGAGGAGGCUUUUCGGAGGAUUCGCCGCCGCCACGAGGCGGAAGUUGAGCAGAACCAAUCUAGAGCUCCGGCAGGACGAUCCUGCCGGGGAAACUUCCCUCCUGGAGGGGGAAAUCGUCGCCAUCGUCAUCACGAACACUCCUCUCAUCGGAAGGGACUCAUCACCAUCAACAUCUUCAUUAGCACCAUCUCAUCUCCGAACCUUAGUUCAUCACUUGUAACCAAUCUCCGUCUCCCGACUCCGAUUGGUACUUGUAAGGUUGUUAGUAGUGUUAAUUACUAUUUGUAGUUGAUGCUAGUUGGAUUAUUUGGUGAAAGAGUUUAUGUUCAGAUCCUUGAUGCUACUCAUUACCUCUCUGGUCAUGAAUAUGAUUAUGCUUUGUGAGUAGUUACUUUUGUUCCUGAGGACAUGGGAUAAGUCAUGCUAAUAGUAGUCAUGUGAAUUUGGUAUUCGUUCGAUAUUUUGAUGUGUUGUAUGUUGUUUUUACUCUAGUGGUGUUAUGUGAACGUCGACUACAUAAAAUUUCACCACUAUUUGGGCUAUAGGAAGGAAUUGGGAAGUAGUAAGUAGAUGAUGGGUUGCUAGAUUGACAGAAGCUUAAACCCUAGUUUAUGCGUUGCUUCGUAAGGGGCGGAUUUGGAUCCACUAGUUUAAUGCUAUGGUUAGACUUUGUCUUAAUUCUUCUUUCGUAGUUGCGGAUGCUUGCGAGAGGGGUUAAUCAUAAGUGGGAUGCUUGUCCAAGUAAGGGCAGUACCCAAAUGCCGGUCCACCCACAUAUCAAACUAUCAAAGUAACGAAAGCGAAUCAUAUGAACAUGAUGAAAACUAGCAUGACAGAAAUUCCCGUGUGUCCUCGGGAGCGUUUUUCCUCCUAUAAGACUUUGUCCAGGCUUGUCCCUUGCUACAAAAGGGAUUGUGCCACUUUGCUGCACCAUUGCUACUUUUGUUACUUGUUGCUUGUUGCGAAUCAUCUCACCACACAACCACUUGUUACCGAUAAUUUCAGUGCCUGCAGAUAUUACCUUGCUGAAAACCACUUGUCAGAUCCUUCUGCUCCUCAUUGGGUUCGACACUCUUACUUGUAGAAAGGACUACGAUAGAUCCCCUAUACUUGUGGGUCAUCAGCCCCCCAUCACGAGGCCUCGCAAGCUGCUCCCUAUGGAGGACUCACUCCAAGCUGCACACCUCAAAGGAGCUAAGUCUAAAACACCCCUCGGGUUUUAUACCUCUCAUUCACCUCUCAAGGCAUCUUGAUUUCCUUGGCACGAGACGCCUACACGUCAAGGGGGACCCUGAGCAUCGUGCCUUAGGGACUCCUACCAUCCCUAAGAUCCCUACACCAUGUGGCCUUGUUGAGCGCAUGCUCUACACAUACCAGCAACGGUUGUAGCCCGUCCCGGGGGCUGGGUCCAAGCGACACAAGGCACAAAGGCAACCUAAAAGGGAAAUAAAGGCCUCGAGAGGAAAACAAAAACACAUAAAACAUCAACUACUUAAGACAAAAGUGCCAUAAGAAUGUUUUCACACACCCACGAGGCUGCAUAUACUUUAUUACAGCAAUGCGCCAAGGGGAGUCUAGGCGGACGAGGCACCACUGUCGUUACUCUCGCCAUCAUUGUGAGGGGUCUCUCUACCACAACCGAUGUGAUCCCUCGCAACCUCUCGUCUGAAACCAAAGUGACUAUCGAGGCAGAGAAGGUUGUCGAAAAGUCGCAUCGUCGCCAGGGUCAACAAGUCACGACACGCCUCCUCGACGAUGGCGUCCACAUCAAGCAGUUGCUUCUUGAGGUCGUCGACCUCGGCCUAGAGCUUGCCCCGCUGGCCCGUGAGGCCCUUCUGUUCAUCGAGAGUAGCCUGGGCGGAAACCAACUUGCACUCCUUCGCCAAUAGGCGCUCCCGCUCUGCCUCCCACGCAGACGGGAAAGACGAUAACUCGCGCUCCCGGGUCUCGAUGUUCGCCUCGCGGGAGGCGACCGCCCUGGGGCGCCUCAAGACCUCCUCCUCAUGUUUUGUGAGCUCGACUUAGCAGGGCGUGGGACAGCUCUCGGAGGCCUCCAUAGCCUCCUCCCGCAUUUUGAGCGGACGCUCGCAUAAAGCAGGUGGUUCCUAGAGCAUCUUCUCGUCGGCAUGAGGCCCCCUCCCGUUGUCGCUUGGCCUCCUGGCAUUAUCGAGGGCCUUCAUGAGGGACACAUGGGCAUCUUUGGCGAGCUAAUCGUGAUAUGCUUGCGCCUCCUCACCCUGCUGACGGUCUAGCUUCAUCGCCUUCUCAAGCCGGCUCUUCCCCUUCUCCAAGCGUCGCCGCUCCUCCGCGUAGAGCUUUGCCUCUGUGCGCCCCUGGGAGAGUGCCUCCCGAUCCUCGACAGCCUCGCCCUCACCCUCAAGCCGAAGCUCGCCCUCCUCCUUGCCUCCCACCAGUUUUUUCUCCAGGCACGUCGGGGCGACGGGCGAGACGACCGACUCCUUGCUGAUUGCGUUGGGUUCCCUCCAGGCUCAAAUGGUGAUGUAGCACAUCGAAGACAAGUAUUUCCCUCAGUUAUGAAACAAAGGUAUCAAUCUAGUAGGAAGAUCCACAAGACUAUGUAAGCGACACAUGCACACAAAUAGCAAAUCCUUGCAAGCCAACGCGUGGAGAGGUCAUCAAUCCCUCGUGGGUAAAGUAAGGAUAGAUUGAUAUAUGCAAAUAAGAAUGAUAGCAAAUAAAAUGCAGCAUGGUAUUUUUGUUUUUUUAUAAUAUAGAUCUGAAAAUAAAAGAGAAAACAAAAUAGAAACAUGAAUAGCAAAUUAGAGGUUGCAAAUAGAUGAUGUGAAGUAGAUCCGAUGGCCGUAGGUUUCACUAGUGGCUUCUCUUGAGAAAAUAGCAAACGGUGGGUAGACAAAUUAUUGUUGGGCAAUUGAUAGAAGAGCAGAAAAUUAAGACGAUAUUCAAGACAAUGAUCAUGUGUAUGUUGGAAAUAUGCCCUAGAGGCAAUAAUAAAAUAGUUAUUAUUAUAUUUCCUGUUUCAAGAUAAUCGUUUAUUAUCCAUGCUAUAAUUGUAUUGAAUGAAAGCAUAGAUACAUGUGUGGAUAUAUAGACAAAACAAUGUCCCUAGUAAGCCUCUAGUUGGCUAGCCAGUUGAUCAAGCAUGGUUAAGGUUUUUUGACCAUAUGCAAGUGUUGUCACUUGAUGACCGGAUCACAUCAUUAGGAGAAUGAUGUGAUGGACAAGACCCAAACUUUGAACGUAGCAUGUGAUCGUGUCAUUUUGUUGCUAUUGUUUUCUGCGUGUCAAGUAUUCAUUCCUAUGACCAUGAGAUCAUGUAACUCACUGACACCAGAGGGAUACCUUGUGUGUAUCAAACGUCGCAACGUUACUGGGUGACUAUAAAGGUGCUCUAUAGGUAUCUCCGAAGGUGUCCGUUGAGUUAGCAUGGAUCAAGACUGGGAUCUGUCACUCCGUGUGACGGAGAGGUAUCUCGGGGCCCACUCGGUGAUACAACAUCACAUAUAAGCCUUGCAAGCAAUGUGACUCAAGUGUUAGUCACGGGAUCUUGUAUUACUGAACGAGUAAAGAGACUUGCCGGUAACGAGAUUGAAAUAGGUAUAGGGAUACCGACGAUCAAAUCUCGGGCAAGUAACAUAGCGAAGGACAAAGGUAAUGGUAUACGCUAUUAUAUGAAUCCUUGGCACAGAGGUUCAACCGAUAAGAUCUUCAUAGAAUACGUAGGAUCCAAUAUGGGCAUCCAGGUCCCGCUAUUGGAUAUUGAACGGGGAGUGUCUCAGGUCAUGUCUGCAUAGUUCUCGAACCCGCAGGGUCUGCACACUUAAGGUUCGGUGACGUUUCGGUAUAGUUGAGUUAUAGGUGUUGGUGAACGAAGGUUGUUCGGAGUCCCGGAUGAGAUCACGGACGUCAGGAGGGUUUCCGUAAUGGUCUGGUAACGAAGAUUGAUAUAUAGGAUGGUUUCAUUUGGUCUCUGGAAAGAUUUCGGGCAUUACCGACAGUGUACCGAGAGUGACGAAUGCAUUUCAGGUUUUCACCGGGAGGGGCCCACCCACCCGGGAGAGAGCCUAAUAGCCCAAGGGUGGCGCACCAGCCCUUAGUGGGCUGGUGAGGCCAGCCCAAGUGGGCUAUGGCGGCUAAGGAGAAAAAACCAAAGAGAAAGAAAAAAAGGGGAGGUGGGAAGGAAGAGGAGGAAUCCUCCUUCCCCAAACCGAAUCGGAGUUGGAGUCCUCCUCUCCUCUCUCGGUCGGCGCCCUAGGGGCUCCCUUGAGCCCCAAGGCUAGCCCCUCCCCUCCUCCUAUAUAUACUAGAGGUUUUAGGGUUUUUGAGACACAACUUUGCCACGUGCAACUCAAACCUCUACUUCAUAGUUCUUCCUCUAGAUCGGUUUUCUGCGUAGCUCAGGUGGAGCCCUGCAGGAAUAGAUCAUCACCAUCACCGGCGCACCAUCACGCUGCCGAAGAACUCAUCUACUUACCCGUCUAUCUUGUUGGAUCAAGAAGGCGGAGAUCGUCAUCGAGCUGUACGUGUGCUGAACGCGGAGGUGCCGUCCGUUCGGCGCUAGAUCGGAACGGAUCGUGGGACGACGGUGAUAUGAAUCACGAAGCUGUACCACUACAUCAACCGCGUUUCUUAACGCUUCCCGCUUAGCGAUCUACAAGGGUAUGUGGAUCCGAUCUCCCUCUCGUAGAUGAACAUCAUCAUGAUAGGUCUUCGUGUGCGUAGGGAUUUUUUUGUUUCCCAUGCAACGUUCCCCAACAGUGGCAUCAUGAGCUAGGUUCAUGCGUAGAUGUAAUUUCGAGUAGAACACAAAAAUUUUUGUGGGCGUUGAUGUUCAAUUUGCUGCCCUCCUUAGUCUUUUCUCGAUUCGACGGUAUUGUUGGAUUGAAGCGGCCCGGACCAACAUUACUCGUACGCUUACGAGAGACCGGUUUCAUCGACUAACAUGCAACUUGUUGCAUAAAGAUGACUGGCGGGUGCCUGUUUCUUCAACUUUAGUUGAAUUGGAUUUGACCGAGGCGGUCCUUGGAUAGAGGUUAAAUAGAAAUUUGCAUAUCUCCGUUGUGGUUUUUGCGUAAGUAAGAUGCGAUCAUACUAGAUACCAGUAGCAUCCACGUAAAACAUGCAACAACAAAUUAGAGGACGUCUAACUUGUUUUUGUAGGGUAUGCUUGUGAUGUGAUAUGGCCAAAGACAUGAUGUGAUAUAUUGGAUGUAUGAGAUGAUCAUGUUGUAAUAGUUAAUAUCGACUUACACGUCGAUGCUACGGCAACCGACAGGAGCCAUAGGGUUGUCUUCAAACUAACGUUUGUGUUUGCAGAUGCAUUUACUAUAUUGCUAGGUUGUAGCUUUAGUCGUAAUAGCAUAGAUAGCACGACAACCGCGAUGGCGGCACGAUGAUGGAGAUCAUGGUGUGGCGCCGGUGACGAUGAAGAUCAUGCCGAUGCUUUGGUGAUGGAGAUCAAGAAGCACAAGAUCAUGGCCAUAUCAUGUCACUUAUGAACUGCAUGUGAUGUUAAUCCUUUUAUGCACCUUAUCUUGCUUAGAAUGACGGUAGCAUUAUAAGGUGAUCCCUCACUAAAUUUCAAGAUAAAAUUGUGUUCUCCCCGACUGUGCACCGUUGCGACAGUUCAUUGUUUUGAGACACCACGUGAUGAUCGGGUGUGAUAGACUCAACGUUCACAUACAACGGGUGCAAAACAGUUGCACACGUAGAACACUCGGGUCAAACUUGACGAGCCUAGCAUGUGCAGACAUGGCGGGGGGGGGGGGGGGGCAAGAGACCGAAAUGUCGAGCAUGAAUCGUAUAGUUGAUAUGAUUAGCACAGAUAUGUUUACCACUGAAACUACACUCAACUCACGUGAUGAUCGGACUUGAGUUAGUGAAUUUGGAUCAUGCCACACUCAAGUAACUAGAGGGAUCUCUAUUUGAGUGGGAGUUUAUUAGUAAUUUGAUUAGUUAAACUCUAAUUGUCUUGAACAUAGUCUAAGUCCACUUUGCAAUAUUUUAUGUUGUAGAUCAAUGGCUCACGCAGUAGCAACCCUGAAUUUCAAUACGUUCCUGGAGAAAGCUAAGCUGAAAGAUGAUGGUAGCAACUUUGUAGACUGGGCUCGUAAUCUUAGGAUCAUCCUACAAGCUGGGAAAAAGAAUUAUGUCCUUGAUGCUGCACUAGGAGAUGAACCACCCACUACGUCUGAUCAAGAUGUUUUGAACGCUUGGCAAUCACAUAAGGAGGACUACUCAGUAGUUCAAUGUGCAGUCUUGUAUGGCUUGGAACCGGGACUUCAACGAUGCUUUAAACGUCAUGGAGCAUAUGAGAUGUUCCAGGAGUUGAAGUUUAUCUUUCAGAAGAACGCCCGGAUCGAGAGGUAUGGGACCUCCGAUAAAUUCUAUGCUUGCAAAAUGGAGGAGAAUUCGUCUGUUAGUGAACAUGUGCUCAAAAUGUCUGGGUAUUCAAAUCAUCUAGCCGAGUUGGGGAUUGAACUCCCGCAAGAGGCUAUCAUUGACAGAAUUGUUCAAUCACUGCCACCUAGCUAUAAGAGCUUUGUGUUGAACUAUAAUAUGCAAGGGAUGAACAAGUCACCCCGCGAGUUAUUCACGAUGCUGAAAGUCGCAGAGUCAGAACUCCGGAAAGAACAUCAAGUGUCGAUGGUCAAUAAGACCACUGGUUUCAAGAGAAACAACAAAGGCAAGAAGGGUAACUCCAAGAAGAGCGGCAAAACAGUUGCCAAUCCGACGAAGAAACCCAAGGCUGGACCUAAGCCGGAAACAUGGUUCUAUUAUUGCAAGGGGAUGGGUCACUGGAAGCGCAACUGCCCCAAGUAUUUGGCUGAUAAGAAGUCGGCCAACGCCAAACCAGGUAUAUGUGAUAUACAUGUUAUUGAUGUGUACUUAACCAACUCUCGUAGUAGUGCCUGGGUAUUUGAUACCGGUUCUGUUGCUCAUAUUUGCAACUCAAAGCAGGAACUGCGGAAUAAACGAAGGUUGGCGAAGGAUGAAGUGACGAUGCGCGUGGGAAAUGGUUCCAAGGUUGAUGCAAUCGCCGUCGGCACAGUCUCACUUCAGUUACCAUCAAGAUUAGUUAUGAACUUAAAUAAUUGUUAUUUAGUGCCUGCGUUAAGGAUGAACAUUAUAUCUGGAUCUUUUUUAUUACGAGACGGAUACUCAUUUAAGUCAGAGAAUAAUGGUUGUUCUAUUUUUAUGAGUAAUAUCUUUUAUGGUCAUGCACCCAAUGUGAGGGGUUUGUUCAUAUUGAAUGUUGAUUGUGAGUUAACAAUGAUAGCGCCACCUUUUUGUGGCACUUCUGCUUAGGUCAUAUUGGUGUAAAGCGCAUGAAGAAACUCCAUGCUGAUGGGCUUUUGGAGUCACUUUAUUUUGAAUCACUUGACAUGUGCGAACCAUGCCUCAUGGGAAAGAUGACUAAGACCCCGUUCUCUGGAACAAUGGAACAUGCAAGUGACUUGUUGGAGAUCAUACAUAAUGAUGUGUGCGGUCCAAUGAGUGUGGAGGCGCGUGGCGGAUAUCGUUAUUUUCUCACCUUCACUGAUGAUUUGAGUAGGUAUGGAUAUAUCUACUUGAUGAAGCACAAGUCUGAAAUGUUUGAAAAGUUCAAGCAAUUUCAGAGUGAAGUGAAAAUCAUCGUAACAAGAAUAUCAAGUUCCUACGAUCUGAUCGAGGGGGUGAGUAUCUGAGUUUCGAGUUCGAUGCUCACUUAAGACAAUGUGGAAUCGUUUCACUGUUGACACUUCCUAGAACACCACAGUGUAAUGGUGUGUCCGAACGUCAUAAUCGUACUUUGUUAGAUAUGGUGCGAUCUAUGAUGUCUCUUACCGAUUUGCCAUUAUCGUUUUGGGGUUAUGCAUUAGAGACAGCUGCAUUCACUUUAAAUAGGGCACCAUCAAAAUCCGUUGAGAUGACACCAUAUGAGCUAUGGCAUGGCAAGAGGCCAAAGUUGUCGUUUCUUAAAGUUUGGGGAUGCGAUGCUUAUGUCAAAAAGCUUUAGCCUGAAAAGUUGGAACCCAAAGCGGAAACGUGUUUCUUCAUAGGUUACCCAAAAGAGACAGUUGCGUACACCUUCUAUCUCAGAUCCGAGGGCAAAGUGUUUGUUGCUAAGAAUGGAUCUUUUCUUGAGAAGGAGUUUCUCUCGAAAGAAUUGAGUGGGAGGAAGAUAUAACUUGAUGAGGUUGUGGAACCUUUGCUCCCUCUAGAUGGUGGCGUAGGGCAGAGAGAAAUCUCUGUCGAGGCAACACCGGUUGAGGAAGAAGCUAAUGAUGAUGAUCAUGAAGCUUUGGAUCAAGUUACUAUCGGACCUCGCAGGUCGACAAGAUCACGUACUGCUCCUGAGUGGUACAGGAAUCAUGUCUUAUCGAUCAUGUUGUUAGACAACAAUGAACCUGUGAAUUAUGAAGAAGCAAUGGUGGGCCCGGAUUCCAACGAAUGGCUGGAGGCCAUGAAGUCCGAGAUAGGAUCUAUGUAUGAAAACAAAGUAUGGACUUUGGAAGUAUUACCUGAAGGUCAUAAGGCUAUUCAGAACAAAUGGAUCUUUAAGAAGAAGACGAACGCGGACGGUAAUGUGACCGUUUAUAAAGCUCGACUUGUGGCAAAGGGUUUUUCACAAGUUCAAGGAGUUGACUACGAUGAGACGUUCUCACUGGUAGAAAUGCUUAAGUCCGUCCGAAUCAUGUUAGCAAUAGCUGCAUUUUUCGAUUAUGAAAUCUGGCAGAUGGAUGUCAAAACGGCGUUCCUUAAUGGUUUUCUUAAGGAAGAGUUGUAUAUGAUGCAACCCGAAGGUUUUGUCGAUCCAAAGAAUGCUAACAAAGUACGCAAGCUCCAGCGAUCCAUUUAUGGACUGGUGCAAGCAUCUCGGAGUUGGAAUAAGUGCUUUGAUGAGGUGAUGAAGUGUAAGGACUAAGAUGCGGUCCUUUUCGGUUUAGGGGAACGAGGCCCCAAAGAGGAAAGAAGCGCAUCUAAGCGUUUCGCAAACACGGUAACAUAGCACAUACAUAAUAAUAGAAUGACAAUUAGGGAUUCAACUGCCAUAUCAUAAAUAAUAUUAGAGUUUACAUCACGCAUCCAAGCAAGGUAGUUCCGCUAUGGACUACAAAACAUGAGAAAUGACUAUGUUACCCUGCAUGCUUGCCCACGAUCACGACCACGCCUCAGUCUUUUGGACAGUUCACGUACAGGCGGUCGUUCUCCUCAUCGUACUGCCACGCCAGCUACGUGUCGUCGGGAUCACCUGUCUCGGGGGUACCUGAACCUAUUGGUGCGUUGAAGUAAUAUGUGAGCCACGGGGACUCAACAAUCUAUGACCUCGGUGCUAGAACUAGUCAAGUUAAUAGGUAAGGAAGGUGGAGUAUUUAGGUUGCAACAUCCUAAGCAUAUAUGGUGGCUAACUUACGUAGAGCAAGUAUUGAAGAUGGUCUAUACUAGCAAUCGAUGAUUAGCUGAUCACUAAGUGAUCCUGAACACCUACUUAUGUCAAUCAUAACCCCACCGUGUUCCCGAUCGAAGAGAAGUCUUCGAAGGGGACAAUCACGGUUACACAAACAGUUGGCAAUUUUAUUAGCUUAUGUUUAAGUUAUCUAUAAGCGGAUGUUAACAAAUAUUCCAAGUUGCCACAUAACCGCGGGCACGACUUUCCGAAAUAUUAAACCCUGCAGGCGUGCUCCAACUAGUCCAUCACAAAUGGUCACGGGCCGCAAAGUAAUCCUCUAUCACGAAUCUCGUGAUCUCGUCGGAUUCCUUAGAGGAAAACCUCAACUCUGGGGAGAACCAAAGCUUCACCGGGAUUCCUAUACACAAGAUAUAUCGCUAAGGUAAGACAAGAUUAGCAGGACCUCCCGUCGUGUCGACGACCCCGAUAAGAGCCGCGUAUCUCAGUCUCAGGACACGACGGAUGAGCUACGCGCACGAUGGCCUGAUAGAAAUCACUCAAGUUGCCCUGAGUUGGCCCCGAACAGUGCUCAUUUUGGACCAACACUCAUGAGGAGCACUGGCCCGGGUUGUUGAUUAACUCCUCGGGGUGAUCAUUCCCUAUGCAGAUUAUUAUUAAGUGAUUAGCAAAUUAACACCAAUGUUGGGUCCCUCCGGACAAGUCUUAACACUACACGAUUUAUCAAGGGGGUCCCCAUAACAACCCCGAACGUGUUAGGAGCGAACAGUUAUGGAAUCAAACACUCGUAGCCGGAAACUAUGGCGGCAAUAACGGAACAAAACACCCGGAAAAAGGCUAAGCCUUCCGUUAUUUACCAAGUAUAUAGGUGCAUUAAUUAAAUAAUAGAUUAACAUAAUGAUAUCAACUGAUGUUAUCACAUGAGACAAAGCACCUGCAACUAGCAACGCUGACAUUAGUAGCUGAGCAAAGCCUACUUAGCCGUUCAAGAUUUGCUAGGAGGGGAAAGUGUUUGGUUUUCAUGGCAAUAUUCAGGAGGCAAUUAUUUCAGUGGUAGGCAGCGAGCAUAUGACAAGGAAACGUGAAUCUAGCAUAACAAGUCUAGAGAUGGAAUCAAGAUCAUAUCAUCUUGCGUGUGAUGUCCUCAGCUUGGAAUUGCUCUGGUUCGUCCUGCACGUACUCUCCCGGAUCCACGUACUCAUUCUCUGAUCCCGGUGCUACCCAACAUAAAAAUAACAUCCAAUGAAUAACAACACUUCAAGAUGCAACAAGCACAUGAUGCAUGAGAUGAAAAUGAACAUGCACCUCUAUUGUACUCACUUGAACAUGCUUGAGAAGGAGAUACAAGUUCCUGGACAAAACUGCACUCUAAGCUAUCUUGUCAUGUAUGAGGAUGACAUGAACAGAAGCGUCACGCGAAAAUGAUGCAAAAACAUAUAAAGAACGUUACGUUCGGAGCUACGGAUCAACCGGAAACAAUGAAACAAGAAAUAGAGUCCUACGUGUCAAAUUCGUCACCACACACUCCAAUGGCAUACUUCUGCUAUUCCCAGGUUGCCAUAUCACAAAACAAACAAGAAUGGAUGGGGUGGUGCAAAGAAUACCACCACACCAUCAACUAUGCACUCCCAAGCAUCAAACAUCAAAACUAUACAAUCUGCCAUAAGCAACAUCAUAGCAGUUUGAGAGCUACAUGCAAAGCACCUACAGCUGCCCAAAUAUGCCAAAUAGGAUAUGUGGCAGAAGCUAUCCAAGAGUACUAGAAGCAUGAGCAAAAAUCUAAUUCGAAGGAGUUUCAUACGGAAAGUUACACAGCUGCUAACUUGGCCAAAAAUAUUAGUUUCCAGGGACUUAGUGAAAAUCUCAGAUUCUCACUAGCUGUUUAUGCUCUGAAGCAUUUUGACAGCACCCAAAACAAUAUCUACAGGAUUCCAAAUGGAAUGAAAAUUGACAGAUAGCUAUACAAAUACAAAAUCUACAACUUCCCAGUUGAUAGCUAGGGCUGAUUCCCAACACAUGGUCUUCUACAAGCACAACAACAGGAGAAGAAAAUAUAAGCAGAUUCCCAGACUUAGUGAAAAUCUGUGAUUUUCACUAAACUGGAAUUUUUAGUCACAUGCCUACUUUGACUAGGCACAACUUGCACACAUGAACUCCUAAGCAUGAAACAAAACCAACAUGUGGUAGAAGGGUUCACCCUCUACCGCCACAACAAAGAAUCAACCUCUUGGGCUCAUCACAUCACAUGGAACCAAGCUCUAAACAUGGAACAAAACUGAAAUAUGACAUUCCCAGAAAGUGUUCCAAAGGCAAAACUUACUUCACCAAUGGAUUCAUGGGAUGAUUCUACCCCAAAAACAUAUAUAAUACAUAUGCACUUGCAUAGAAUAAUUGGGCACAAGGCUAAGAAGAAGAUAAGCAUGGAUUCACAAGGUGUGAAUAGUGCAUCAUCACAUGUGCUAUUCAGUAAAACAACACCUACAUAUCCACUUGCACACUAUCAACACUACAAUGGUGCACAUGAGGGUUAUCCCUCAUGCUCAUGUGCCUUAGCAAACCACCACACACACACACAAGCAUCAAGCACAACAUAAUAUAAACACCUACACAUGCUAAUGGGAACACCCACACUAGAUUACACCACAACAUCUAUACACCUUCACAUAUAAACAUGCUCAUGUGCUCAUCAAGGCACUCCAUGCCUUGAGCAUGUGUGGGACACACACACACCAUCUCACACAACAACACAAGAGCACCUACAUAUACACAAGGUAGGUGAGGGCGGAAACCCACACACACACUCACAUCACAUACUUGCACAAGAUAGGACAUAAGNNNNNNNNNNNNNNNNNNNNNNNNNNUGCAUAUCUAUAGCCUAGUGCAACACACAACUAAACACACCCACACAUACAUGUCAUCUAGCUCACAAUGCACAUACAUACAUAUCACUACACAUGCAUAUUUACAUAGCUAGAGAAAUACUAGGAACCUGCUAGAAUAAAUCCAGCAACCAAAACUUGCCUCACAAGCAUGCUGCAGUACAAUAUAGCAAGCAAACAAAACAAACAGGGAAGAAAUGCACAAAAAAAGGACAGGGGAGGGAUCGAACCCUAGAGCCCCUGAUCACCACCUGCACCUCAUACCACUGCGCUAUGGAACAGUCACUUGACAGAUAAGGAAAGCCUAGCAGGAUAAGGUGAUACACGCUGCUCUGUUACUGUGCCGAGAGAAAAAUAGCACAAAAAGGGGGGUUUGGCGCCGCGGGGAUUCGAUCCCACAACCACCUGAUCCACAACAAACACUGCACCACUAUGCCGCGCUACUAUACUUGACAGAGAGGAGGAACUCUCCAAGGUAAGACAUCGAAGCCGGCCUGCUCUGCUACUCACAGAGACGCCGACGGCAGCAAGCCACCGGAGCAAACCUACUUGCUCUACUGCUGCUCUACGCGCGGGGAUCCAUCUACACUACAACUACUACGCUGUUGGAGGCCCCGAGCCACGACGAGCCAAGCACAACAACACAAGAACGACACACCACCUGCACCUGCCCUCGUGCUCUUCUCUGAACAGAGAGGCACGACCUCGAUCUCCUACGCGCAACUACCGAGGAAGAAAAGAGGAAGAUACUAGCUCUCACCUAGGGGAAGGAGGAGAGGUUGCCGAUCGGGGAAGAGGCCUGCCUGGAGAAGAACGAAGACGACCUGAAGCGCCUGACGAAGAACUCUGCAGAACCAAAGCAGGGAGGAACAGGCCGCCGGGAACACGCCGUUGACGUGGUCCUGCCCGUCGCUGUGGUCGCGCUUUGACCUCAACAACAACGGGAAUGGAACGCGGGGCCUACCCCCGAGCCCCCUGACAUGAUGGCCGACACCGAAGGCGGCGGAUGCACGGGAUCGACGACGGCGCACUACUGCCCUCUAUGUGUACCUGGAUCUACAGGAGCUUACCUUGGGGAAGGAGGAGAAGGAUGGAGACGGCAGCGCUAGAUGGGGGAAGCAUGGAACCCUAGGGCAAGGGGGCACGAACGCCGAGGGUUAUAAGAGGGCCUCGACGUCUGUGAGCCCUCACGGCAUGCUCGCUCCCUCUCUGCUGCGUGACGGAAAGCGACGCACGGGGAGACGCCGUCUGAAGAAGGAGAAGGAACGCGUGCCUGGGCUGCCGCGGGGGGGGGGGAGAGAAGCUAGGCCUGCUAGUGGGAGGAGGCCCACUAGUUGGCGCCAGGUAGAAGGAAAUAAACCCAUGGGGUUUAUUAAUUAAGCCAAGACCAGACAAACAAAACAAAUGCACAUGCUAAACAGAUAAAGCUAAAAUUAAAUCAAAAAUACCCCUGGUCAUAAGAAAUUAUGACCUAUUUAAAUAAAAUAGAAAAGAAAUAUUUGGAGCAAUUAAAUAUUUACAAAACAACAUUUAUAUGAUAUGUUUUGGGAAUAUUUGCACCUUUAAAAUAUAGAUUCAAAACAACCAAUUCACAUCUUCACAUCCACCACAAAGUAUACUAAAUCAUGGACAUUUUUUAAAACAAGGAUGGGACAAGUGAAGCUUGACCUUGAGAUAAAUAAAGAGGAAGAUGGUUUUGAAGCCUAUGCAAACCACAUAGUUUCCUACUAGCAAUUGCACCACUCCAUUACUCACAUACACUAUCAUCACAUGACAUAUUCAACACACCACAUACCCACAUGGAUUCACAAAGGCACAAACACAAGACAUGGGUGAAUGAUAGAUGCAUGCAAGCAAAGGAAGAACAAAACAAUGUGACAUCACAUGAAAUCAUAUGCAUUGAGCUCUCAUAUCAAUGACAAGGUGGACCCACAUAGAGAAGGUUCCAGAUAUGGCAAGAUACACUCUUGGGGCAUUACAUGAAGGCAUUUGGGUUUAUACAAGUUAUUGGAGAAUCUUGUAUUUACAAGAGAGUGAGUGGGAGCUUUGUAGAGUUUCUUAUAUUAUAUGUGGAUGACAUAUUGCUGAUUGGAAAUAAUGUGGAGUUUUUAGAGAGCGUAAAGGAUUACUUGAACAAAUGUUUUUCAAUGAAAGACCUAGGAGAAGCUGCUUACAUAUUAGGCAUUAAUAUCUAUAGGGAUAGAUCGAGGUGCCUAAUAGGACUUUGACAAAGCACAUACCUUGAUAAAGUUUUGAAGAAGUUCAAAACGGAGCAGUCCAAGAAGGGGUUCUUGCCAGUGUUACAAGGUAUAAAGUUGAGUAAGACUCAGUGUCCGGUAACCGCGGAAGAUAGAGAAAAGAUGAGUAGCGUCCCCUAUGCUUCAACCAUCGGGUCUAUCUUGUAUGCAAUGUUAUGCACAAGACCGGACGUCAGCCUGGACAUAAGUAUGGCACGCAGGUUUCAAAGUAAUCCAGGAGUGGAUCACUGGACGACGGUCAAGAAUAUUCUGAAAUACCUGAAAAGGACUAAGGAAAUUUUUCUCGUUUAUGGAGGUGACGAAGAACUCGUCGUAAAGGGUUACGUCGAUGCAAGCUUUCACAUUGAUCCGGAUGACUCUAAGUCUCAAUCCGGAUACAUAUUUGUUCUUAAUGAGGGUGCGGUAAGCUGGUGCAGUUCCUAGCAAAGCGUCGUAGCAGAUUCUACAUGUCAAGUGGAGUACAUGGCUUCCUCGAAGGCAGCUAAGGAGGGUGUCUCGAUGAAGCAAUUCAUGACGGAUUUUGGAGUUGUGUCGAGUGCACUAAAUCCAAUAACUCUGUUCUGUGACAACACUGGUGCCAUUGCUCUAGCCAAGGAACCAAGGUUUCACAAGAAGACCACACACAUCAAAGGACGCUUGAUACGUCUCCAACGUAUCUAUAAUUUUUGAUGGUUCCAUGCUAUUAUAUUGUCUUCUUUGGAUGUUUUGCAUGCCUUUUAUAUAUUUUUUGGGACUAACUUAUUAACUCAGUGCCAAGUGGUAGUUCCUGUUUUUUCCAUGUUUUUGACCCUUUUUCAGACGGAGUCCAAAUGGAAUGAAACUUUACGAUGAUUUUUUUGGACCAAAAGAUACCCCCAAAGCUUUGGAAGAAGGCCAGAAGAGCCACGAGGGAGUCACAAGCCCAUGUUAUGCGGCCUACCCCCCUGGUCGCACCGUGCAGGCUUCUGACCUCCUUGUGGGCCCAACUGACUCAAUUCCACCGCCAUAAAUUCCUAUAAAUUCAGAAACCCCCAGAAAGAAACCUAGAUCGGGAGUUCCGCCGCCGCAAGCCUCUGUAGCCACCAAAAACCAAUCUGGAGCCCGUUCCGGCACCCUGCCGAAGGGGGAAUCCAUCUCCAGUGGCCAUCUUCAUCAUCCCGGCGAUCUCCAUGACGAGGAGGGAGUAGUUCUCCCUCGGGGCUGAGGGUAUGUACCAGUAGCUAUGUGUUUGAUCUCUCUCUCUCUCGUGUUCUUGAGAUGUCUUGAUCUCGAUGUACCGUGGGCUUUGCUACUAUAGUUGGAUCUUACGAUGUUCUUCCCCCUCUCCCUUCUUGUAAUGAAUCGAGUUUCCCCUUUGGAGUUAUCUUAUCGGUUUGAGUCUUUGAGAGCACUUGAUGUAUGUCUUGAACCUGUCUAUCUACUUUGAUCAACCUGCGGGUUUGUGACAAUUGGGAACCUAUGCAUAUGGUUGGCACACGUGGAUUCAUGUGAGUACUCGAUGUAUGUUUUGGUGAUCAACUUGUGGGUUCGUGACAUUGGGAACCUAUGCAUAGGGGUUGGCACACGUUUUGACUCUCCGGUAGAAACUUUGGGGCACUCUUUGAAGUUCUAUGUGUUGCUUGAAUAGAUGAUUCUGAGAUUGUGUGAUGCAUAUCGUAUAAUCAUGCACACGGAUACUUGAGGUGACAAUGGAGUAUUGAUACGUCCAUUUUGCAUCAUGCUUUCAUGUUGAUAUUUAUUGCUUUUUGGGCUGUUAUAUUACUUGUGGUACCAUAUUUAUGCCUUUUCUCUCUUAUUUUGCAAGGUUUAUUUGAAGAGGGAGAAUUCAGGCAGCUGGAAUUCUGGACUGGAAAAGGAGCAAAUCCUAGUCCACUAUUCUGCACAUCUCCAAAUGCCCUAAAAAGUUACGUGGAUUUUUUUGGGAUUAUAUAAAAAAUAUGGGGCGAAAGAACUACGGGAGGGGGGCUACCAGGGCGCCACAAGCCCUGACACCGCCACCCCCUGGUGGCGGAGUGGGGGCUUGCGGGUUCCCUGACGGCCCACUAGCCCCCCUCUUUUGCUAUAUGAAGCGUCCUGGUCCAGAAAAAAAUCAAUUAGGAGCUUUUUCGUGGUUUCGCCGCCGCCAUGAGGCGGAACUUGAGAAGAUCCAAUCUAGAGCUCCGGCAGGACGAUCCUGCCUGGGAAACUUCCCUCCCGGAGGGGGAAAUCGUCGCCAUUGUCAUCACCAACACUCCUCUAAUCGGAGGGGAUGCAUCUUCAUCAACAUCUUCAUCAGCACCAUCUCCUCUCCAAUCCCUAGUUCAUCUCUUGUAACCAAUCUUCGUCUCGCUACUCCGAUUGGUACUUGUAAGGUUUCUAGUAGUGUUGAUUACUCUUUGUAGUUGAUGCUAGUUGGAUUACUUGGUGGAAGAGUUUAUGUUCAGAUCCUUGAUGCUAUUCAUUACACCUCUGAUCAUGAUUAUGAUUAUGUUUUGUGAGUAGUUACUUUUGUUCCUGAGGACAUGGGAUAAGUCAUGUUAAUAAUAGUCAUGUGAAUUUGAUAUUCGUUCGGUAUUUUGAUAUGUUGUAUGUUGUCUUUUCCUCUAGUGGUGUUAUGUGAACGUCGAUUACAUAACACUUCACACCAUAUUUGGGCCUAGAGGAAAGCAUUAGGAAGUAGUAAGUAGAUGAUGGGUUGCUGGAGUGACAGAAGCUUAAACCCCAGUCUAUGCGUUGCUUCGUGAGGGGCUGAUUUGGAUCCACUAGUUUAAUGCUAUGGUUAGACUUUGUAUUAAUUAUUUUUUUGGAGUUGCAGAUGCUUGCGAGAGAGGUUAAUCAUAAGUGGGAUGCUUGUCCAAGUAAGGGCAGUACCCAAGCGCCGGUCCACCCACAUAUCAAACUAUCAAAGUAACGAACGCGAAUCAUAUGAACAUGAUGAAACUAGCAUGACAGAAAUUCCCGUGUGUCCUCGGGAGUCUUUUUCCUCCUAUAAGACUUUGUUCAGGCUUGUCCCUUGCUACAAAAGGGAUUGGGCCACUUGCUGCACCUUUGCUACUACUUGUUACUUGUUACUUUUUGCUCGCUACAUUUGACCUCACUACACCAUCACUUGUUACCGCUACUUUCAGUGCUUGCAAUUAUUACCUUGCUGAAAUCCGCUUAUCAGAGCCUUCUGCUCCUCGUUGGGUUCGACACUCUUACUUAUCGAAAGGACUACGAUUGAUCCCCUAUACUUGUGGGUCAUCGAGACUCUUUUCUGGCGCCGUUGCCGGGGAGUGAAGUGCCUUUGGUAAGUGGAAAUUGGUAAGGAAACAUUUUUAUAUUGUGCUGAAAUUUAUUGUCACUUGUCACUAUGGAAACUGUUCCUUUGAGGAGUUUGUUCGUGGUAUAUUCACCACGAACGGAAGCACGAGGAGUUUCUCCUCAACCUGAGGUACCUACUGAAAAUAUCUUUUAUGAAAUUCCUUCGGGUAUGCUUGAGAAACUGCUGGCUAAUCCUUUCACAGGAGAUGGAUCUUCACAUCCAGACUUGCAUCUGAUCUUUGUAGAUGAAGUUUGUGGUUUAUUUAAGCUUGCAGGUUUGCCCGAGGAUGUGGUAAAGAAGAAAGUCUUUCCUUUAUCUUUGAAGGAUAAGGCAUUGACAUGGUAUAUGCUAUGUGAUGAUACUGGAUCAUGGGGCUACAAUCGGUUGAAAUUGGAAUUUCAUCAAAAGUUCUAUCCUAUGCAUUUAGUACAUCGUGAUCGGAACUUUAUUUAUAACUUUUGGCCUCGUGACAGGGAAAGCAUAGCUCAAGCUUGGGGGAGGCUUAAAUCAAUGCUAUAUUCAUGCCCCAAUCAUGAGCUCUCGAGAGAAAUCAUCACUCAAAACUUUUAUGCUCGAUUUUCUCAUGAAGAUGUACCAUGCUUGACACUUCUUGUGCCGGUUCUUUUAUGAAGAAGGAUAUUGAUCACAAGUGGAAUUUAUUGGAGAGAAUCAAACGCAAUUCUGAAGAUUGGGAGCUGGAGGAAGGUAAGGAGUCAAGUAUGAAUUUCCAGUUUGAUUGCGUUAAAUCUUUUGUUGAGACAAACACUUCUAGAGAUUUUAGCACAAAGUAUGGACUUGAGUCUGAGAUAGUAGCUUCUCUAUGUGAAUAUUUUGCUGCUCAUGUUGAUCUUCCCAAAGAGAAGUGGUUUAAAUAUCAUCCUCCUGUAGAAAGCAACAUAGCUAAAACCAAUCUAGUUGAGGAGAAAGUCAUUGCUUUUAGUGAUCAUGUUGUUCCUUGUGCUUACACUGAGAAACCACCAUACCCUCCUAGGAUAAAGGAUUAUUCUAAAGCUCCGAUGAUACGUAGGGGUUACAUUAGACCACUUGCACCCCCUGAGGAGAUUAGAGUUGAACCUAGUGUUGCUAUUAUCAAAGAUCUCUUAGCCGAAGACAUAAAUGGGCAUGUUAUCAAAUUCUGCGAGGACUCUGCUAGAAUUGCUAAACCUCACGCGAAAGACAAACACGGACCUGUAGUUGGCCUGCCCGUUGUUUCUGUUAAGAUAGGAGAUCACUGUUACCAUGGUUUAUGUGAUAUGGGAGCUAGUGUUAGUGCAAUACCCCGUUCUAUAUAUGAUGAAAUCAAAGAUGAGAUUGCACCUGCUGAGUUAGAACCCAUUGAUGUUACUAUUACGCUAGCUAAUAGAGACACUAUCUGCCCUCUGGGAAUUGUGAGAGACGUAGAAGUCCUAUGUGGUAAGACGAAGUAUCCUACUGAUUUCCUCGUCCUUGGUACUGCACAAGAUAGCUUUUGUCCCAUCAUAUUUGGUAGACCCUUUCUCAACACUAUCAACGCUCACAUUGAUUGCAUUAAGCAGACUGUCACAGUUAGUUUCGAGGGUGUGUCUCAUGAAUUUAACUUCUCCAAGUUUGGAAGACAACCCCAUGAAAGAGAGUCGUCCGGUAGGGAUGAAAUCAUUGCUCUUGCCUCUAUUGCCGUACCUCCUACAGAUCCUUUAGAGCAAUAUCUGCUUGAGCAUGAAAAUGAUAUGCAUAUGGAGGAGAGAGAUGAGAUAGAUAAAAUUGUCUUAGAACAAUAUCCUAUUCUCAAGAAUAAUCUGCCUGUUGAACUGCUUGGGGAUCCUCCCCCACCAAAGGGUGAUCCUGUGUUCGAGCUUAAAUAGUUGCCUGAUACUCUUAAGUAUGCCUAUCUUGAUGAGAAGGAGAUAUAUCCUGUCAUUAUUAGUGCUCUCCUCUCAGAGCAUGAAGAGAAGAAGUUACUAAGAACUCUGAGGAAGCACCGCGCUGCUAUUGGAUAUACUCUUGAUGAUCUUAAGGGUAUUAGUCCUACUCUAUGUCAGCACAAGAUUAAAACCGAUCCUGACUUUAAACCAGUUGCUGAUCAUCAAAGGAGAUUAAAUCCUAAGAUGAAAGAGGUCGUUAGAAAAGAAAUAUUAAAGCUUCUGGAAGCAGGAAUCAUUUAUCCUGUUGCUCAUAGUGAUUGGGUAAGUCCAGUACAUUGCGUACCUAAGAAGGGAGGUAUCACCGUCGUUCCUAAUGAUAAGGAUGAACUAAUCCCACAAAGGAUUAUUACCAGCUAUAGAAUGGUGAUAGACUUCCGGAAACUGAACAAGGCAACCAGGGAAGAUCAUUAUCCUUUGUCGUUCAUCAACCAAAUGCUAGAAAGGCUAUCAAAGCACACACACUUCUGCUUUCUAGACGGUUAUUCAGGUUUCUCGCAAAUACCAGUUGCACAAUCUGAUCAAGAGAAAACCACUUUCACCUGCCCUUUCAGUACCUUUGCCUAUAGACGUAUGCCUUUUGGCUUAUGUAAUGCACCCGCCACCUUCCAAAGAUGUAUGAUGGCUAUAUUCUCUGACUUUUGUGAAAAGAUCGUCGAGGUUUUCAUGGAUGACUUCUCUGUUUAUGGGUCCUCCUUUGAUGAUUGCCUCAGCAACCUUGAUCGAGUCUUACAGAGAUGCGAAGAAACCAACCUCGUCUUGAAUUGGGAGAAGUGCCACUUUAUGGUUAAUGAAGGUAUCGUCUUAGGACACAAAAUUUCUGAGAGAGGCAUUGAAGUUGAUAAGGCUAAGGUUGAUGCAAUUGAGAAAAUGCCUUGCCCCACAGAUAUAAGAGGUAUACGAAGUUUCCUAGGUCAUGCUUGUUUCUAUAGAAGGUUCAUUAAAGACUUCUCUAAGAUUUCUAGGCCUCUUACCAACCUCUUGCAGAAGGAUGUUCCUUUUGUUUUUUAUGAGGAUUGUGAGGAAGCUUUCGAAAUACUUAAGAAGGCUUUGAUAACCGCACCUAUUGUUCAACCACCUGACUGGAACUUGACCUUGGAAAUCAUGUGUGACGCUAGUGAUUAUGCUGUUGGUACUGUUCUAGGACAAAGAGUUGAUAAGAAGUUGAAUGUCAUUCACUACCCUAGUAAAACUCUAGACAGUGCCCAAAGAAACUAUGCCACUACGGAGAAGGAAUUUUUAGCAGUCGUGUUUGCAUGCGAAAAGUUGAGAUCUUAUAUAGUUGACUCCAAAGUUACUAUUCACUCUGAUCAUGCUGCUAUUAAGUACCUUAUGGAGAAGAAGGACGCUAAGCCUAGGCUUAUCAGAUGGGUUCUCCUGCUACAGGAAUUUGAUUUGCACGUCGUUGACCGAAAGGGUGCUGAUAACCCUGUAGCAGAUAACUUGUCUAGGCUAGAGAAUGUCCUUGAUGACCCACUACCUAUUGAUGACAACUUUCUUGAUGAGCAAUUAAAUGUCAUCCGCACUUCACUUAGUGCAUCGUGGUAUGCCGAUUAUGCAAACUAUAUCGUAGCCAAAUACAUACCACCCAGUUUCACCUAUCAGCAAAAGCAGAAAUUCUUCUUUGAUUUGAGACACUACUUUUGGGAUGAUCAUCACCUUUAUAAGGAAGGAGUAGAUGGUGUUAUUAGACGUUGUGUGCCUGAACAUGAACAGGGACAAAUCCUGCAGAUGUGUCAUUUCGAAGCCUACGAAGGACACCAUGCUGGAGAUAGAACUGCCCAUAAGGUAUUGCAAACAGGUUUCUAUUGGCCCACUCUCUUCAAGGAUGCUCGUAGGUUUGUCUUGUCUUGUGACGAAUGCCAAAGAAUAGGGAACAUCAGUAAGCGUCGGGAAAUGCCUAUGAACUACUCACUUGUCAUUGAACCAUUUGAUGUCUGGGGCUUUGAUUAUAUGGGACCCUUCCCGAGUUCCAAUGGGUACACUCACAUCUUAGUUGCUGUGUAUUACGUUACUAAGUGGGUAGAAGCUAUCCCCACUAAAAAUGCUGAUCACCACACCUCUAUUAAGAUGCUUAAAGAAGUCAUUUUCCCAAGAUUUGGAGUCCCUAGGUACUUGAUGACUGAUGGCGGUUCACACUUCAUUCAUGGUGUUUUCCACAAGAUGAUAGCUAAGUAUGAUGUCAACCAUAGAGUUGCAUCUCCUUAUAAUCCUUAGUCUAGUGGUCAAGUUGAGUUGAGUAAUAGGGAGAUCAAGUUGAUCUUACAAAAGAUCGUCAACAGAUCUCGAAAGAACUGGUCUAGCAAACUCGACGAUGCACUAUGGGCUUAUAGGACUGCUUAUAAGAAUCCCAUGGGCAUGUCACCGUAUAAAAUGGUUUACGGUAAGGCCUGUCAUUUACCUCUUGAGCUGGAACACAAAGCUUAUUGGGCAAUCAAAGAGCUCAAGUUUGAUUUCAAACUUGCCGGUGAGAAGCGGUUGUUUGAUAUCAUCUCGUUAGAUGAAUGGAGAACCCAGGCAUAUGAGAAUGCCAAGUUGUUCAAGGAAAAGGUUAAGAGAUGGCACGACAAACGAAUACAGAAACGAGAGUUCAAUGUAGGUGAUUAUGUCUUGCUAUACAAUUCUCGUUUGAGAUUCUUUGCAGGCAAGCUUCUCUCUAAAUGGGAAGGUCCCUAUGUUAUCGAGGAAGUAUAUCGUUCCGGUGCCAUCAAAAUCGAUAACACGGAAGGAAAUUUUCCUAGAGUGGUAAAUGGGCAAAGAAUCAAGCAUUACAUCUCUGGUACUCCCAUAAAUGUUGAGACCAAUAUCAUCAAUGUCAUAACUCCAUAGGAGUACAUAAGGGAUGUUUAUCAGCAUGUUUCAGACCUUGAAAACGAAGAUGUAUCUGUUUUGGUAAGAAAUUGGACUCCGAUACUUUUCCAAUAGGAAAUUUCUUCCGUUUUGGAAUUUUUGGAAAAUUAGAAAAAUAAAAAGCAGUCUGUAGAGCGAACGAGGCGGGCACAAGCCCUGCCACCGCCCCUACCCCCUGGUGGCGGAGGGCAAGCUUGUGGGCACCUCAUGUGCCUCCCGGACUCCGUUUUCUUGCGGAGGACUCCUUCUGGCCCAGAAAAAAAUCAAUAUAUAGUCGCCCGAAGGUUUUGAUCUCCGUAUCGCGUAGUUUUCCUCUGUUUUCGUUUAAAGCUUGUUGUCUGCCGCAUAUUUAGAGCAAAGAUGUCUCAGGAAUCUGUUGGGGAGAAUGAUCUUCACCAAGUUCAUGAGGAAGUAGAUGCUGAUAUGAAAAGAGUAGAAGUCACGGAAUCUAGGGACCAAGCUACGGAGAAAACCCAAGCUAGGGAGGAAGUUCAACCUAUGUUCAACAUUGAAGACAUGGAAGGAGUAUAUUUUCUCCAACCCUUCCUCCACGUGCUGUCUCCAUCCUUGAUUGAACUCUUGAGGUUUUGCGAAACAACUCGUGCUCGCAAUAUUUCUCUUUCUCGUGAAGUUGUUUUGCUGGAAAACCAUGUCACAUAUCUCAAAGGUAUAAAUCAAAGAUUGAUAGCUCUCUUGGAAUCAAAGGCGAUAACUCCACCACCAUCACCACUAAAGGAAGACAACUAAGCAUUGGUAUGGGCAAUCCCCUUGGCUUCUGCCAAGCUUGGGGGAGUUGCCCUGGUAUCGUAUCACCUUUAUAUCUUUUGCUUUUACCUUUGUUUUAGUUCUUUCCUUUUCAGUUUUUAUUUCUUCUCUUAGAGGAAUAAGUCUUGUGUUUUUAGUUUGAGUCUUUUGCUUUUGUCUCUCUUCCGAUGUAUUUGAGCUCGCGAGCUAUAUAAUAAAGAGUAUCUUAGUCAAGGGCUUUGCUUUGUGCCUUGAUCAAAAGUAUGAAAAGAACGAUAGCAUGAAAGAUCAUGAGACGAUCUUAUGGAAAGUGAUAACUUCACUUGUGACACGUAUGAUGAUUGAAACUUGUUGAGAAUAAAUCAACAUAUACCUUAGUCAUUGUUGUAAUUAAUAAGAAGUAAUAACGAAAGAGAGGUUCACAUAUAAUAUAUCAUCUUAGACACUUUUUUACAAUUGUGAGCACUCACCAAACUAUUACAUGCUUAGGAGCAGAUGUUGGACAAGGAAGACAACAUAAUGAAUUGUGUUUGCUUGGUUCCAAACAAUGUUAUAUGAUUAGAGAUCCCUUAGCAUGUGACGAUUGCUUCCACCUUAUAUUAGCCAAAACUCCCGCACCAAGUAGAGAUACUACUUGUGCAUCCAUAAACCUCCAACCAGUUUUGCCAUGAGAGUCCACCAUGCCUACCUAUGGAUUGAAUAAGAUCCUUCAAGUAAGUUGUCAUCGGUGCAAGCAAUAAAAAUUGCUCUCUAAUAUGUAUGAUCUAUUAGUGUGUGGAAAAUAAGCUUUGUACGGACCUGUGAUGAGGAAGACAUAAAAGCAAUAGACUGCAUAAUAAAGUUCUUUAUCACAGGAGGCAAUAUAAAGUGACGUUCCUCCGCACUAAGAGGACACGCAUUCAAACCUCAAAAGCGCAUGACAACCUCUGCUUCCCUCUGCGAAGGGCCUAUCUUGUACCUUUACUUUUUGCCCUUGUAAGAGUCAUGGUGAUCAUCACCAAUUCCCUAUUUUUGCCUUUGUCUUGGCUACCGUCACAUGUUUGGGAAAGAUCUAUACUCAUAUAUCAACUUGGAGUUGAGUACUUAUGCUUUAUUGUUGUUGACUUUACCCUUGAGGUAAACCGUUGGGAGGCAAAACUAUAAGCCCCUAUCUUCCUCUGUGUCCAGCUGAAACUUUGACACCAUGAGUACCACGUGAGUUGUAACAAUUGUGGAAAACAAAAGAGAUGAUUGAGUAUGUGGGUUUGCCUUACAAGCUCUUAUUUGAUUCUUUCUGAUGUUGCGAUAAAUUGCAAUUGCUUCAAUGACUAUGGACUAUUGUUGGUGACUUCUCGGUAAGGUUUUUGCUUCAUGCUUUGCUUUGUGAAGGAAUUGUUACUUUCACAUAAGAAUCUUUAUGAUGUAUCGCUGUGUGAUCAUGAUGCCCUCAUGUCCGUAUUAUGUUUUAUCGACACCUUCGACCCUCAACAUGUCGACAUGUUUAGGGAACUUGGUUUUCGCUUGAGGACAAGUGAUGUCUAAGCUUGGGGGAGUUGAUACGUCCAUUUUGCAUCAUGCUUUCAUGUUGAUAUUUAUUGCUUUUUGGGCUGUUAUAUUACUUGUGGUACCAUAUUUAUGCCUUUUCUCUCUUAUUUUGCAAGGUUUAUUUGAAGAGGGAGAAUUCAGGCAGCUGGAAUUCUGGACUGGAAAAGGAGCAAAUCCUAGUCCACUAUUCUGCACAUCUCCAAAUGCCCUGAAAAGUUACGUGGAUUUUUUUGGGAUUAUAUAAAAAAUACUGGGCGAAAGAACUACGGGAGGGGGGCUGCCAGGGCGCCACAAGCCCUGACACCGCCACCCCCUGGUGGCGGAGUGGGGGCUUGUGGGCUCCCUGACGGCCCACUAGCCCCCCUCUUUUGCUAUAUGAAGCGUCCUGGUCCAUAAAAAAUCAAUCGGGAGCUUUUUCGUGGUUUCGCCGCCGCCACGAGGCGGAACUUGAGCAGAUCCAAUCUAGAGCUCCGGCAGGACGAUCCUGCUGGGGAAACUUCCCUCCCGGAGGGGGAAAUCAUCACCAUCGUCAUCACCAACACUCCUCUCGUCGGAGGGGAGGCAUCUUCAUCAACAUCUUCAUCAGCACCAUCUCCUCUCCAAUCCCUAGUUCAUCUCUUGUAACCAAUCUUCGUCUCGCUACUCCGAUUGGUACUUGUAAGGUUGCUAGUAGUGUUGAUUACUCUUUGUAGUUGAUGCUAGUUGGAUUACUUGGUGGAAGAGUUUACGUUCGGAUCCUUGAUGCUAUUCAUUACACCUUUGAUGAUGAUUAUGAUUAUGUUUUGUGAGUAGUUACUUUUGUUCCUGAGGACAUGGGAUAAGUCAUGUUAAUAAUAGUCAUGUGAAUUUGAUAUUCGUUCGGUAUUUUGAUAUGCUGUAUGUUGUCUUUUCCUCUAGUGGUGUUAUGUGAACGUCGACUACAUAACACUUCACCAUAUUUGGGCCUAGAGGAAAGCAUUAGGAAGUAGUAAGUAGAUGAUGGGUUGCUGGAGUGACAGAAGCCUAAACCCCAGUCUAUGCGUUGCUUCGUGAGGGGCUGAUUUGGAUCCACUAGUUUAAUGCUAUGGUUAGACUUUGUCUUAAUUCUUCUUUUGUAGUUGCAGAUGCUUGCGAGAGAGGUUAAUCAUAAGUGGGAUGCUUGUACAAGUAAGGGCAGUACCCAAGCGCCGGUCCACCCACAUAUCAAACUAUCAAAGUAACGAACGCGAAUCAUAUGAACAUGAUGAAACUAGCAUGACAGAAAUUCCCGUGUGUCCUCGGGAGCGUUUUUCCUCCUAUAAGACUUUGUUCAGGCUUGUCCCUUGCUACAAAAGGGAUUGGGCCACUUGCUGCACCGUUGCUACUACUUCUUACUUGAUACUUUUUGCUCGCUACGUUUCACCUCACUACACCAUCAGUUGUUACCUCUACUUUCAGUGCUUGCAGUUAUUACCUUGACGAAAUCCGCUUAUCAGAGCCUUUUACUCCUCGUUGGGUUCGACACUCUUACUUAUCGAAAGGACUAUGAUUGAUCCCCUAUAUUUGUGGGUCAUCAAGUAUCUAGGUGACAUUAGGGUCUUGGUUGAUAUGUAUCUUAAGGUGUUAUUCUAGUACGAACUCUUGAAUAGAUCGAUCAGAAAGAAUAACUUUGUGGUGGUUUCGUACCCGACAAUAAUCUCUUCGUUUGUUCUCUGCUAUUAGUGACUUUGGAGUGACUCUUUGUUGCAUGUUGAGGGCUAGUUAUAUGAUCCAAUUAUGUUAUCAUUGUUGAGAGAACUUCACUAGUGAAAGUAUGAACCCUAGGCCUUGUUUCCACGCAUUGCAAUACCAUUCGUGCUCACUUUUUUUACUAGUUACCUUGCUGUUUUUGUAAUUUCAGAUUACAAAAACCUAUAUCUACCAUCCAUAUUGCACUUGUUUCACCAUCUCUUCGCCGAACUAGUGCACCUAUAAAACUUACCAUUGUAUUGGGUGUGUUGGGGACACAAGAGAGUCUUUGUUGUUUGGUUGCAGGGUUGCUUGAGAGAGACCAUAUUCAUCCUACGGCUCCCGCGGAUUGAUAAACCUUAGGUCACCCACUUGAGGGAAAAUUGCUACUGUUCUACAAACCUCUACACUUGGAGGCCCAACAACGUCUACAAGGAGAAGGUUGCGUAGUAGACAUCAAGCAUUUUUCUGGCGCCGUUGUCGGGGAGGCUAGGUAAGAGGCACUAACAUCCCGUCAACGAAGCAUUUUCGGGGAGGUUAGCGCUUGAAGGUAUAUCUUUAGAUCUUGCAAUCGAAUCUUUUUGUUUCUUGUUCUUUAGCUAGAAAACUACCAAAAAAUGGAAUUGAGGAUGCCUCAUAUGCUCCAUCUUUUUAAUGUCUUUCGUGAGCAUGAUGGGAAGGAAAAUUGUGCUCAAGUGCUGAAAUAAGAAUUACAUAGAAUGCUUGGCAUAGAAUAUGUGAAUGAUGAGCAUGAUUGCAAUGUUGUUAGCACAAAUUCUUUGAAUACCCAUGAUGCUAAUGAUAUGCAAAGCCACAAGCUUGGGGAUGCUAUAUUUGAGGAAGAUGAUCUUUUUAGUUCUUCCACUUUGAAUGAUCAAAAUCAUUUUGAUGAAAGCAUGCCCCCUAUCUAUGAUGAUUAUUGUGAGGAUACUUAUGCUUUGAAGAAGAGGGAUGAUAAAUAUUGUCAUACUUUCGAAAACCCCUUUGCUAAACCUUGCUUUUUCGUUGUGGACACAAUUUGUAGUGCUCAAGUCUUUUACGAUACUCCCACUACUAUUCUUGAGAAUAGAUUUCNNNNNNNNNNNNNNNNNNNNNNNNNNNNNNNNNNNNNNNNNNNNNNNNNNNNNNNNNNNNNNNNNNNNNNNNNNNNNNNNNNNNNNNNNNNNNNNNNNNNGCUAUCUUGCUUAAGGGUUAGGGAUGUGACAACUUUGGAGUUGGAGGGCUUCUUCAUCAUCAUCAUCGUCCCUCCAAUGACUCGUGAGUAGUUCACUUCAGACCUACGGGUCCGUAGUUAGUAGCUAGAUGUCUUCUUCUCUCUCUUGGAUCUUCAAUAGAAAGUUCUCCAUGAUCUUCAUGGAGAUCUAUCCGAUGUAAUCUUCUUUGGCUGUGUGUUUGUCGAGAUCCGAUGAAUUGUGGAUUUGUGAUCAGAUUAUCUAUGAUAUAUAUUUGAGUCUUUGCUGAUUUCUUAUAUGCAUGAUUUGAUAUCCUUGUAAGUCUCUCUGAGUCUUGGGUUUUGUUUGGCCAACUAGAUCUAUGAUUCUUGCAAUGGGAGAAGUGCUUGGUUUUGGGUUCUACCAUGUGGUGACCUUUCCCAGUGACAGUAGGGGCAGCAAGGCACACAUCAAGUAGUUGCCAUCAAAGGUAAAAAGAUGGCGGAUUUAUCAUUGGUUUGAGAUUAUCCCUCUACAUCAUGUCAUCUUGCUUAAGGCGUUACUCUGUUCUUAUGGACUUAAUACACUAGAUGCAUGAUGGAUAGCGGUCGACGUGUGGAGUAAUAGUAGUAGAUGCAGAAAGUAUCGGUCUACUUGUUUCGGACGUGAUGCCAAUAGAAACAAUCAUUGCAUAGAUAUCGUCACGACUUUGCGCGGUUCUAUCAAUUGCUCGACAGUAAUUUGUUCACCCACCGUCUACUUGCUUUCAUGAGANNNNNNNNNNNNNNNNNNNNNNNNNNNNNNNNNNNNNNNNNNNNNNNNNNNNNNNNNNNNNNNNNNNNNNNNNNNNNNNNNNNNNNNNNNNNNNNNNNNNGACUAGGUAUUCGAACCCCAUACAUAUCAAGUAUGACACACGUACGCAUGGCAUACCGAUAUGUAUAGAUUCAUCGAUGGCAUCACAACAUAACCAUAAACAUACAACCUUUAUUCAAGAGGCUCGGAAGAGCCACACACAUAAUAUUACACAUUAAGGUCUCUCGACCCAUAAUAGCAGUCAUACAAAUACAAGCCAGCGGAAGAGUUAUAGACUGUCUGGGUACAGACAAUGCAACUAGAAGGCACAUGGCCUGACUAUACUACAGAGCCGACAUAGGGCCAGAUCGUAGCUGGGACACCAGCUACUCGUCGUCGUCGAUGUCUACGAAGAACCCUCCAUUAGGGUCAUUAGCAACCUCUGCAACAUUUAUUAAGCAAACAUGAGUACGAAGGUACUCAGCAAGACUUUAGGAGAACUAACUACUCAUGCAAGGUAUCAAAAGGUAUUGUGGGGUUUCAUGCGGGAAGCCAGCAUUUGACUCGUGGCUAGACAACUUGCAUUUUGAAAUUAGUUUUGACAACUUGAUUUCUCGCACACGAGUCCACUAACACCACAGCAAUACACUAUCGUGGAAUCAUUCCGUCUCCAUACGGAAAUGCCGUCCACGACACUCACGCUUAUCUUGCCCAUUUUAUGAGUAGCCAUUGAAGUUAUCUAUGAACAACAUAUGUCUCCAAGUAGUCCAUAUCCGCGGACGCGGCUAUUCGAAUAGAUCAUAACCCUGCAGGGGUGUACUUCGUCACACACGCUCUCGCCACUUAUCGCUAUGUGCACGUCAUGCACCUCGGCAACCUUCAAGCGGAAGCCCAGCGAGGGAGUCGGCCACGACCGUUAACCACACCAGUACCUAGUCCAGGUUUAUCGCCUAUCUGAGAGUAACCCGUACGAAAGUCCGGCCGGGGAUUCCGCCACGGCCUCAAACGAUGUGCGCAGGGUUCCCAAGCCCACCAUCCAGGUGCCACUUGGUACACCGUGCCACUGCCUACCGCAUCACGGCCCACCUCUCAGGUCAGCACCAUGCACGGCCUCCAGCAUUACUAUAAACACCAGAAACUACUUGCAACUCCUGGACCGAGUACUACGCGAUUAAUAGGCCGAGCGGGGUCAUAUUUCAGGGCCCAGCAUGUGGUAGUAUCUAGUCUUGGAUUACAUACACGGAACUCAGUUCCUAAGGACGGUUCCAAUGAAACAACCCGCCAUGUACUCCUACACAGCCUUUCACCGGCACCUUUACCAAAUCAAGUUCAACACACAACCUUUGCUCACCGAAAACAUUCCACAUUUCUGUUCAUCUCCCAGAUGACAGACCAUACACAACUCUAAGCAUAUCAUGCAUAGCAGGAUAAGGCACAUCAUAGCUCAAGCAACUACCAGGUAUGCUAGGUUGCAAGGUUCGGCUAUUUACUGUGACAAGGUUAGGUCAUGCAAAGGAAGUGGGUUCAACUAUCGUGGCAAAAGCAGUUGUAGCAUUUGAUCCUAAUGCAAUAAAUAAAUGCAGGAGCAAGAACAUGGGAAUUAUCGGGAUGAUCAAAAGGGUUGCUUGCCUUGUUGCUCAGAGGAGGAACGAUAUCCGUCAGACGGAUAUUCGGUGGAAUCCGGGGGUGCGGAGCCUACCGAAAUGAAUGGCAACAUUCAAUAACAAUCAUAUGCACUCAAAAUGAUGCAUGCGCAUGGCAUGAGAAUGCAGGGUGAUAAGUUAUUAGUUUCAACAUGUAAUAGGUUUAGAGUUGAUUUGAAUCACAUUCGAAUAGCAAUUCAAACGGGGUAUUCUCGGAUACCGGUUUAAUUGAUUCGACCUGAUGCUCAGAUCAACUUGAUGUUAACAUGCAUGAAAUGUCAUGUUAUGGUACUGAUUUGUAAUUAGGGCAGUGUGUGAUCAUUGCAUAUAUAAUGAAAUUUGAAUNNNNNNNNNNNNNNNNNNNNNNNNNNNNNNNNNNNNNNNNNNNNNNNNNNNNNNNNNNNNNNNNNNNNNNNNNNNNNNNNNNNNNNNNNNNNNNNNNNNNUGAGUACCUUCGUACUCAUGUUUGCUUAAUAAAUGUUGCAGAGGUUGCUAAUGACCCUAAUGGAGGGUUCUUCGUAGACAUCGACGACGACGAGUAGCUGGUGUCCCAGCUACGAUCUGGCCCUAAGUCGGCUCUGUAGUAUAGUCACGCCAUGUGCCUUCUAGUUGCAAUGUCUGUACCCAGACAGUCUAUAACUCUUCCGCUGGCUUGUAUUUGUAUGACUGCUAUUAUGGGUCGAGAGACCUUAAUGUGUAAUAUUAUGUGUGUGGCUCUUCCGAGCCUCUUGAAUAAAGGUUGUAUGUUUAUGGUUAUGUUGUGAUGCCAUCGAUGAAUCUAUACAUAUCGGUAUGCCAUGCGUACGUGUGUCAUACUUGAUAUGUAUGGGGUUCGAAUACCUAGUCGUGAACUUUAGUAGCACUCCUUACAAGGAAAUGCCCCUUUGUGAUCCAACGAGCCUUGGUAGUCCGCUACUGCUCCGGACACAUUGGUUGACCGGCAUGUGUCCUUCUUAGCUGUUGUGUCCGUCCUCUUUGGGGAAAUGUCACGCGACGUAAUGGAGUCCUUGUAGCUUGCUACGACUCGUCUACGUUCGCUGAUGACCGACACCUGCUUUGUUGGGUCAUGUAUGCCCGUCCUUGUGCGGAACUGCCACUUUGAUUUAUGACUAGACAUGUCGAUGCGGGUUCUUUGACAUUGGAUUGCUAGCGACACCUAUCGCAUACGUGAGUCAAAAGACGCAAACGGUCCCGGCUAAGGUAAAGCUGCAGCCGUGGAGUUAACCGUGCGUGAGACCACAAAGAGAUGCGAUGUGUUACAGGCUGGAUUCCUAUGGCUUAGGAUCGGGGUCCCGACAGCGUUGGUAUCAGAGCCUGACUGACUGUAGGAUUACUAAGCCAAACUGGUCAAAGUUGAGUCUAGAAUUGCUUUAGUUAUAUAUAAGGGAAUUGUUUGUGGAAGGGAACGUAAGACUCUUGUUCUCUUCUCAAGUUAUUCUAUUCUGGUCAUCCUCGUCUCUUCUGCGGGAAUUAAGGACUAGGUUACUCAUCUUCUCCUAGGCUCGUGUUUCCAAUCGGUAGCUUAUAGGACUACGGGUCGAGAGAUAUUGGGUUUCUUUUAUUCCUAGGAAGCAGGAAGUAAGUUUGGUGACCAGAGAGUUGAACUUGAUAGUUGAGUGGUUACGCUAUUCCAUUUUGGGUUGUCUCAAAUUUGUUUUGAGCAUUUACAGCCGUUAUGCUGCCCAAUUUUGCAUUCAGAGCUCUAAUGCUUUUGCAUUACUCUCUAUUUACAGAUGUCUGGCCGUCCUUCCCGUCAGGUGGUACGUCUGACCAGGUGCAUUGAUGUACCGGGUCAUACGGCCAUGCUGGUCAGGGUGAUGUCGGUGUGCGGUUACCGCUGGUACCCCGAGUACACAGUGGAGGAACAGUACCGGGACUUCAACCAGAGCCAGUACAUCUGCACUGUUAGGGUAUUCCUAGACUACCCUGGAGCGGAGAAGCCAAUCCAUUGGUCCUAUGGGUUGGGGGUCACCGUUGACAUGGGAGUACAAGAUGCUGCCUAUUCAAUGCUGACUAUUAUGAGAGCGAGACAUGCACUGCUGCAGAAUUCAGAGUUCUGCUAUGUUCCGGCCUCUCAGUCUGGUGAAGAGGGAUACCUCAGUGGACUCUAUUUUGAUUCUUCUAUGGAGGAUCCACUUCUGCAGACCACUGUUGAGAUGCUAGAGAACAGAGACAACGAUGCUCGUGCUCUCCGCAUGGAGCUUUAUGCUACUCGUGCCCGUCUGUGGACAGCUUUGACGCAGCUAGCACCGGUAGUCCAGACAGGGUAUGGAGAGAUGGAGAUGCUGAACCCUGUUAGGACCCAUCUUCCGGCUCACGUUGACUGGCCAGCUAUAGGAGGAGUCACACCUCUUCGGAGACCCCUCUUACCACCAGUCAGGGGACCAAGGCCACAUCCGUGUCCUUAUGGAUCCCAGGGGUCUCAGGCUAGAGUGUUUCCUGAUCCGCAGGUUGAGCUUCCAGGUCAUGGAGGUAAUCUCUAUGAGAUGUUCUAUGCGGAUGCCUGAGCUGUGAGCGGAAGGAUAGUAUGGUAGUAGUCGUACGUUCAAAGUCCUGCGUGACUUGUGAAGUAUGGUAGUAAUGUGAAAUGAAUUCCAGAGGCCUAGAUAAAUAAUGUAUAGGAAGCUUGUAAGCCUCUGAUGAGUAGUUCCACCAUUUCAGUAGUUUGCUCUUCGGGUAAGUUUGUACUGAACUAUGUAAGGGUGUGUAUGAACCAUGGUGUAUAUAUAGCAGUUGCUUGUUACCAUGUUGUUCGGAUAUUCAUUUCCGCAUUCCGUGUGUUCAGUACAUUCUUAAUCCAUAGCUAGUAUUGAUAUGAUAUUGGUCUAAGCUAUGAGUUUGUUUGUCAGGAUGGUGUUCACCAGGUUGAACCGUGCCCCUGCUCAUGAGCAAGGUGAGGGUAGUCAAGCGUCGCAGGAAGACCUGCCUCACCCACCUUCUCUGGUAGAAGUGAUGCUUGAGGCAGAAAGAAACAAAAGGGAGACCAACCGACUGCUAGAGCGUAUUGAGCAGAAUACGGNNNNNNNNNNNNNNNNNNNNNNNNNNNNNNNNNNNNNNNNNNNNNNNNNNNNNNNNNNNNNNNNNNNNNNNNNNNNNNNNNNNNNNNNNNNNNNNNNNNNUGCCCCAACGGCUCCCCCACGCGGCGCGCCCCGUGGGCAUCGUCGUACUGCUCCAGCUGUGGAGCCGCCCGCACCGGCCUCCCCCGCAACGGGGGAAUCGCCGAUCCCGGAGGCUUCUCCGCUAGUUGCCCCGGGCGUCUCGGCCCCGUCUCCUGCACCACCGGGCCCCGCUCCUGUCGGCACGACGCCUCCACCACCUGCUGCCCCCGUGCCCAGUACGGGGCCGGCCUCUCCCUCAACUGCCCCACCUGCUGCCCCCGUACACUUCGGAGUGCUUACCCGUGCGCGCGCGGGUGUCCAUCGACCCAGCCAGAGGUACUCCUCCAACGAGUACGUCUGCACUGCCACCACGACGGCUCCUUCGCCGCUCCCUGCGUCCGUCCACUCGGCGCUCCGGGACCCUCACUGGCGCGCCGUCAUGCAAGACGAGUACGACGCGCUACUGAGGAAUCGCACCUGGCAGCUGGGUCGUUCGCGGCUUCCGGCAACGGGCUGGUCUCGACUUGUGACAGCCCAAGUGCAAUCUCCCCUCCCCUUUUGUAUCCUCCUUGUAUGGCAACCUUGGCAUGUUGGUGUGAUGUGGGGUGAGCCUAACUUUGUGUCAUCAUUUCAUGUGCAUCAUGCCUUCUUGCAUUGCAUUCUUUCCCUUUUGUUGUGGUUGUGUUGAUGUGGGUGUCCUUGUUGUGAUGUGCAAGUGUUGUGUUGAUGUCCUUAGUGAUUGUUUAGGUGUGGGGGCAACAAGUGCAUGUCAAAACCCACAUGUUGCUCCAUAAGGAGAAAACCCUUCUCUCUCUAUGUUAAUUUGUGGCAGGUUUAAAAGGCUUUGUUUCUCCAUUUAAAAAAAUGUUCAUCUUUCCCUAAAAAAAAUCCUUUUCAUUUUGUGGAGGCAACCCCUCUGGUUUCUACUUUACUUUCCUUCUUAUCUUAUUUAAAAAAUCAAAGCCCAUUUAAAUUAGAUGAAUAUAAUUUUGGACUUCUAAAAAUGUUCCACUUAUUUUUAUAAACAGUGGCAACANNNNNNNNNNNNNNNNNNNNNNNNNNNNNNNNNNNNNNNNNNNNNNNNNNNNNNNNNNNNNNNNNNNNNNNNNNNNNNNNNNNNNNNNNNNNNNNNNNNNGGGGUUGUCAAUCCCUUAUAGAUUGUUUGCCAAGUGAGAACUGAAAGCAACAAAGUAACAAAUCAAAGUAAAAGCGGAGGUGUAAACGAUGGAUGUGAAUAGACCCGGGGGCCGUAGUGUUUACUAGUGGCUUCUCUCAUGAAAGCAAGUAGACGGUGGGUGAACAAAUUACUGUCGAGCAAUUGAUAGAACCGCGCAAAGUCGUGACGAUAUCUAUGCAAUGAUUGUUUCUAUUGGCAUCACGUCCGAAACAAGUAGACCGAUACUUUCUGCAUCUACUACUAUUACUCCACACGUCGACCGCUAUCCAACAUGCAUCUAGUGUAUUAAGUCCAUAAGAACAGAGUAACGCCUUAAGCAAGAUGACAUGAUGUAGAGGGAUAAUCUCAAACCAAUGAUAAAUCCGCCAUCUUUUUACCUUUGAUGGCAACUACUUGAUGUGUGCCUUGCUGCCCCUACUGUCACUGGGAAAGGUCACCACAUGGUAGAACCCAAAACCANNNNNNNNNNNNNNNNNNNNNNNNNNNNNNNNNNNNNNNNNNNNNNNNNNNNNNNNNNNNNNNNNNNNNNNNNNNNNNNNNNNNNNNNNNNNNNNNNNNNUCACGAGUCAUUGGAGGGACGAUGAUGAUGAUGAAGAAGCCCUCCAACUCCAAAGUUGUCACAUCCCUAACCCUUAAGCAAGAUAGCAUUGUGCUCAUGUCUUCUUUGCAUUUGCAUCUAAGAAGUUUCAACAAAAACAACAAAGUGGCAAAGGAAAAACUCAAAACCCUAGCCACCAUUUCAAAUUAAAGGAAAUCUCAAACUAGUUCAAAAUCAAUGAACCCAAAAUGGCCUCAAGAAAUGUUCAAACUUUCUGAUAAAUCAUGAAAGUAAAUGAGCAUUGGAGAAAACUAUUUUCUUGACACUUUAAGCUUUUUAAAUUAAUGCAAAAGCCACUGGUUUCAAAUUUAAAAUUUGAAAUCAGAAACUAUAAUUUUCCAAAAAUGUUGAAAACCUUGGAAAUGGUUGGGGAUAUUAUAACAAAUAUUUCAGGAGGUCUAAAAUAGUUUUUACUUUUUGUUUUGGAGCUGAAUUAAUUAGCAAAACAAUAAUUAGCAAAACAGAAAAACAAAAACAGAAAAAUAAGGAAAAACCUUACCUGUCGCCUAAGCCUGGCCCGGCCCAUCCCUGGCUCGUCCCCUCCCUCGCACCAGUAGGCAGCAGGAGGUGGUCGCCGCCCCCUCCGGCGCGGCCACGCACCUGCGUGCCUGCCUGGCCGCCGCCUCGCGCUGGCGACGACGGGGAUAAGCUCCCCAGAGCCUCCCCUAUCCAUUCCCCGCCUCGGUUCUCUUCCUCCACCCGGAUCUCUUCCUCCUCCCCGCUGCCGCCAUUGGAGCCGAGCUCGAGCUCGAGCUGCCCGUGCCCCUAGCCUUAGGAUCCCCUCCCAGAGCAUGCCAUUAGCGCCGCCUCGUCGCCCUGGUCAUCUCUACAGAAGCCGAAGCUUCCUCGAGCCCUGCAACGCCCGCAACGCCGUCGUCUUCCACCUCCGGCCGCCGGACCUCUCCCGUCGAUUCGCUUCCUCCGGCGCAUCCCCGAGCCCCUCUUCAGCACCAUCGGAACGGCCGUGAGCUCGUCGUCGUUUCCCCUCUCGCCCCACGCUCUCCCGUGCAUCGUAUCCUAGUUCCCCACCAAGGCCGAGAGCUUCUCGCCGCCGGCCAUGUCGCUGUCGUCGUUGUGAUGACUGAUCCACGCGCCCGAGCUAGGAUUCGAGCUCCUGGAGCCUCCAGGAGCGUGCCGAGCCCUCCAGCUGCCCUCCCCGUGCCCUAGAACCGCCCCUCAUAGAAGGCCGAGCUUCGGCCGCCGCUCCGGCUCAUCGCCGACGCCUCUUCCGGCGACCCUAGCCUCCCCAGAUGGUCCUGCCAGAUCGGCCACUUCGCGAGCAUGCUGUAGCUGCAAACCGCGUGCGUUUUGGUGUUGUGCAGCGCCGUCUAGGUCGCCUCCGGCGAGCCCUCCGCCGCGGGCCUGGUCGCCGGCGACCACCCUCCGGUGGGGGUCGACGUGGCAAGCUAACCCAGCAGCUUAGGGACCUAAUCACUCGCUGACAAGUGGGCCCAAGGCCAAGUCAAACCUCAGUUAGGGCUGGUCAGCGUGGGAUUAGUCCCAGAGAGGCUGUCCAGUGGGGCCCCCCUGUCAGGUUUGACCUGAACAAGUCGGCUGACCUGCUGAUGUGAGCCUGAGGCAAUAAAUAGAAUUUCCAGUAUAAAACUAAUUCAGGAAAUUGCUAAAAUNNNNNNNNNNCGGGAUUAGUCCCAGAGAGGCUGUCCAGUGGGGCCCCCUGUCAGGUUUGACCUGAACAGGUCGGCUGACCUGUUGAUGUCAGCCUGAGGUAAUAAAUAGAAUUUCCAGUAUAAAACUAAUUCAGGAAAUUGCUAAAAUUUGUAAAAAUCAUAGAAAUUAAUCUGUAACUCCAAUGAAAAUAAUUUAUAUAUCAAAAAGUAUCAGAAAAAUUCAAGGAUUCUGAUUAUGCUAUUUUCAACCAUGUUUAAAAAAGUUACAGAACCCUAAAUUGUGGAAUAAGGAAUAAUUCAAUUCUUUUAAUCACUUUAUAAAUGGAAUUUGCAAAAAAAUUCAAAUUUCAUUAUAUAUGCAAUGAUCACACACUGCCCUAAUUACAAAUCAGUACCAUAACAUGACAUUUCAUGCAUGUUAACAUCAAGUUGAUCUGAGCAUCAGGUCGAAUCAAUUAAACCGGUAUCCGAGAAUACCCCGUUUGAAUUGCUAUUCGAAUGUGAUUCAAAUCAACUCUAAACCUAUUACAUGUUGAAACUAAUAACUUAUCACCCUGCAUUCUCAUGCCAUGCGCAUGCAUCAUUUUGAGUGCAUAUGAUUGUUAUUGAAUGUUGCCAUUCAUUUCGGUAGGCUCCGCACCCCCGGAUUCCACCGAAUAUCCGUCUGACGGAUAUCGUUCCUCCUCUGAGCAACAAGGCAAGCAACCCUUUUGAUCAUCCCGAUAAUUCCCAUGUUCUUGCUCCUGCAUUUAUUUAUUGCAUUAGGAUCAAAUGCUACAACUGCUUUUGCCACGAUAGUUGAACCCACUUCCUUUGCAUGACNNNNNNNNNNNNNNNNNNNNNNNNNNNNNNNNNNNNNNNNNNNNNNNNNNNNNNNNNNNNNNNNNNNNNNNNNNNNNNNNNNNNNNNNNNNNNNNNNNNNAGACACAACAGCUAAGAAGGACACAUGCCAGUCAACCAAUGUGUCCGGAGCAGUAGCGGACUACCAAGGCUCGUUGGAUCACAAAGGGGCAUUUCCUUGUAAGGAGUGCUACUAAAGUUCACGACUAGGUAUUCGAACCCCAUACAUAUCAAGUAUGACACACGUACGCAUGGCAUACCGAUAUGUAUAGAUACAUCGAUGGCAUCACAACAUAACCAUAAACAUACAACCUUUAUUCAAGAGGCUCGGAAGAGCCACACACAUAAUAUUACACAUUAAGGUCUCUCGACCCAUAAUAGCAGUCAUACAAAUACAAGCCAGCGGAAGAGUUAUAGACUGUCUGGGUACAGACAGUGCAACUAGAAGGCACAUGGCGUGACUAUACUACAGAGCCGACGUAGGGCCAGAUCGUAGCUGGGACACCAGCUACUCGUCGUCGUCGAUGUCUACGAAGAACCCUCCAUUAGGGUCAUUAGCAACCUCUGCAACAUUUAUUAAGCAAACAUGAGUACGAAGGUACUCAUCAAGACUUUAGGAGAACUAACUACUCAUGCAAGGUAUCAAAAGGUAUUGUGGGGUUUCAUGCGGGAAGCCAGCAUUUGACUCGUGGCUNNNNNNNNNNNNNNNNNNNNNNNNNNNNNNNNNNNNNNNNNNNNNNNNNNNNNNNNNNNNNNNNNNNNNNNNNNNNNNNNNNNNNNNNNNNNNNNNNNNNAAGACAUAGAAACGUAUCAAUACCAUCAAAACAUAUCAAUAUAGACAUGAAAUCUAGUUUCAAAGACCUCGUCACAGCAAAUUUAAUGAUGGAAAUAGAUUUUUAAUUUGGCUUUUCGUUUAAGGGAUAAGACAUUUUGAAUUUUGAGAAAAUGAUGUUUACAUCAUCUACAUUUGUUUUCACUUGCAUGUAUGCAUGGAUGCCAUUCCGCACUUUCCCUCGUCAGGGACUGUUCGCCCAUUAUUACAGUCGAAAACUAAAACAAUGAUAUGUACUCCCUCUGUUCCUAAAUAUAAGUUUUUUAAGAGAUUUCAAANNNNNNNNNNNNNNNNNNNNNNNNNNNNNNNNNNNNNNNNNNNNNNNNNNNNNNNNNNNNNNNNNNNAAUGAUAUGUAAUUACAUACUCUUAAAAAUAAUAAUUAAAUAAAAAGACAAUCCUUGGAAAUUACCAGUCUAGUCUUAUUCUAAGACCUGACGAAACAUUAUUGAGUACCCGUCAUAUACAAGAGGAUUCGCUAGCAAAGGACUAUCAGAAAGGUUCAGGCAAUCUGCUGCCCAGGUCAUACACGAUUAUUCAUCAGGUUGGACACAAGCUAAGCUGCUUUCCUUCUGGAGAGUAAUUUGAAAAACUGUUCAAAGGCAGGGUAGAAUGAUCAUCCUUCGUGAUACACUAAACUGGAAACAAAAAACUCAGCUCGAUGCAUUUACAUGGACAGAAAUCGAAGUAUGUAACGGGUGAAGCUACCAUCAUGCCUCCAGGUCGUUCAGGUUUCUCGGAACUUUGACAAAAAGUUUUGAAACGAAGAGAAACCUUCCAUCGCAUCGUGCGGCAUGUUAAGCGUGAAAGGGGGAAGAACACUCGGACCAGCCUUCAGGUUCUUCGGGCCAGCGGCUGACGGUAGCGCAAGUGCAGGCUGCUGUCUGUUGAGCUUUUCUAUGAUGUACGAGAAAGUUCCAAAAGCCAGGCAGCUCUGAAUCAGAGUUUGCGGUGCACCUGCAACAGACAGCAGAAAAUAUGGUACUGAGGUGAUCGAUACAUAUGAAGCAGUUUAUUUAUGCUACAGGAGCAAAAAUAGAAACAUUAACUCCUGCCCCACUCCCUACAAAAAGCAAAGAGAGAAGUUGUAUUCUCAGCACAAAUGAUGAUCCAAACUAACCCCUUUGAUUAUACGAUUUUGGUUAGUAGAAUCUACAUUUCUACGAUCCUAAUAGUUAAGAUUCUACCACUGGUGAUCACUGGUGGAGCUACAGUGGAUUUCUUGGGCGGCCCAACCUGAAGAAGAAACCAUAAGAGAUGGGCCAGGCCACUUGGCAAGCUAGUUAGGCAGUUUUUCAGCUAGGCAGGGCGGGCCAGAGCACAGGUUCGCCCCAACGUAGCUCUGAUCCGAUUCAAAAUAACGAUUUUGACAACCUUGUCGAGCGACCAAGCGGAACGCUCGUUUCAGCAUCUCUCCCUCUCUCGAUCCGCGACGACGGCAAAGCACUCCCACCUCUCCCUCUCCGGCAACGGCUGUCCUAGCCUCCCCCCACUUCUGUCCUCUGAUGGCAUGCAGCAGCAGCGGGCAGCCAGGUACAAGCUGGGUGACGAUCAAGCAGCUGGACGGCGGCUGUAGCGGACAGCUUGGGCAGAGCGGAGGCAGUAGAAGGAGCAGAAGGAGCAGCAGCUCAUGGGCUGUGGCUGGUAGUUGCAGGUGGCGGCCUCACAUGCUGGGCGGCGGCCAGGCGCUGCACGUCUCGAUUUGUUGAGCGACACAACAUGAGGAAUUGGCAGGCGGGGGCUACACCCCAGAAGAGCAGGCUCUGCUCCAUUGUCCACUCUCCCUUGUGCGUUUGCUAGACUAGUGAUAAUCACCUAAAUGGAAAUUGUACAUGCUUUUUCUUGCCUUUUGCAACUACAGAAAAUUUGUGCAUGUUGUGGACCAUUUAUUGAUGAUUCUUUCUAAAUUUGUUAGUAAAAUAUGAUUGUGUAAGACUAUUGAUGUUAUUUAUUUGACAUGAUUGUGAUGCAAAAUAUAAAUUAUUGGUGAACAAAAAAUAAAUAAAACAUUGUUUUGAAAUUAAAUAAAGUGAUUCCGAAAAUACAAUUAAUGUUGCAUAUAUAGCCAGAAAAGCAAAACACUAAUCUGAACAUUUCUCAUUAUUCCAUUCCAUCAACCAAACACUGAGAUGUAACUGUUUCAUUCCACCUCAUUAUUCAUACGAAACACAAAGAUGGAACCAUUACAUUCCAUUCCACUUGGUUCUUCAACCAAACACACCCUCAGUGUCUUUGGCGGCACGGCUGGCUUCUGGGCGAUAGGGCAUGCUCGUGGUGGCCAUGGCGGCGACCUAUGUUCCACCCAGAUAUGGCGUCCAGCGGAGGCUAGCGGCGCGUGUCGAUGGCUUCUGUUGUGCCUAAGACGGCAAUGGCUGGCGACAAUGGUGGCCCAACAGUGCUCGGUCACGACAGCUGCCAAGGCUUCGCCUUUCUCUAUGGGCACGUAGGGCGUGUGAGAUGGUGGCCCUAGGCAGGUUACGGUGGGGGGGGCGACAGCUGCCAAGGCUUCGCCUUUCUCUAUGGGCACGUAGGGCGUGUGAGAUGGUGGCCCUAGGCAGGUUACGGUGGGGGUGGCGACAGUGUGGGGUCCUAAAGGAGGAUGCGGCCGGCGAUGCCGAGGCUGCCCGAAGACCGAAAGUGUCGGUUCCUGGGCAGCUCCCUAUUGAGAUCUGGAGGAGCCAAAUCUUGAAGGAGCACUAGCUGCCGAUCCGUCCAGAGGUUUUGCAGGCAGGUGGCUGGCGCGCGAGCCGAGGUGCAGGGUUUGGGUAUCCCACCCCCCUCAUGGACGGGCAGUUCGUUGGGCAGCCAUGGCGGCGGUGCUGCCCGGCUAUGGCCGUUGGCCUUGUGGUGGGACCCCGAGGGCAGGUGUCUUCUUCCCUUCGGUCGGCGACGGCCACAUGCUAUGCCGUCGGUGAGAGGUUCGGNNNNNNNNNNNNNNNNNNNNNNNNNNNNNNNNNNNNNNNNNNNNNNNNNNNNNNNNNNNNNNNNNNNNNNNNNNNNNNNNNNNNNNNNNNNNNNNNNNNNCGCCGCGGUGGCGGCGGAGAGUGGGCUCGGAUUCCGCGACACGGAGAGGCGCGUCAGGAUGGGGUUGGCGCGGGGGGGGCUCCGCGGCUGACGUGGGGACUCGUCGGAGGACUCGGCGUCGGUGGUGUCGCCGCCAUCGGAGGAGUAGUUUUCGUCCGGCUUUGGGUCGCCG
Molecule: long non-coding RNA, 74037 nt
Filed under: Hordeum vulgare
Lineage: Eukaryota; Viridiplantae; Streptophyta; Magnoliopsida; Poales; Poaceae
Description: long non-coding RNA (HVUL_LNC011951)
Source: RNAcentral